ACGUAUAUGGGGUCGUACUAAUUGCAACUUUGACGGUGCUGGUAGAGGCUCUUGUGAGACUGGUGAUUGUGGUGGAGUCUUGCAGUGUACCGGGUGGGGUAAACCACCAAACACCUUAGCCGAAUAUGCCUUGAACCAGUUUAACAACCUAGAUUUCUGGGACAUUUCUUUAGUUGACGGAUUUAAUAUACCGAUGACUUUUGCCCCGACCAAUCCUAGUGGAGGAAAAUGCCACUCAAUUCAAUGCACAGCCAAUAUAAAUGGUGAAUGCCCUGGUGAACUUAAAGUACCCGGAGGAUGUAACAAUCCUUGUACCACAUUCGGAGGACAACAAUAUUGUUGCACCCAAGGUCCAUGUGGUCCUACUGACUGGUCGAGAUUUUUCAAACAAAGAUGCCCUGAUGCCUAUAGCUACCCACAAGAUGAUCCUACUAGCACAUUUACUUGCCCUAGUGAUAGUACAAAUUAUAGGGUUGUUUUUUGCCCAUAAUUAAUGCCACAAUAAAGCAUAUUUUGCUACAAAUUAAAUGGUAUGAAAAAUUACCAAAAUAAUAAGUAUCUAAACUAUUUUGUGUUAGUGUGAUAAUAAUGUCUUAUGUGUGUAAUGUAUACACACUUUCUUCAACUUACAUGUUUUUGAUCAUAAUGAAUAAGAAAUAAUAUCGUUAAUUAUGUGUCGUUACUUAUUUACUUCACUUUAACAUUUUCUUGCCUUUUUUUGUUGGUUGAAUUUGAAACUAACUAAUGAAUUACUUGUACGUCAAUUAGUCACUUACCGAUUUUUCAUUUAUAAACAUGCUAAAUCGACGAUCAAUAAUAUGUUUUUAUCAAUUUUCAAUUAAUUGCCUAUUGAUCCUUAAUAGUUUUUAUUAAUAUAAUAUUUAUUUUAAAAUACUAUCGAUACCAGUUGAAAAAAAAUCAUGAGUACAGUAUAGCUGGUGAGUGGUGAGUGGUGAGUAGAACCUCAUCAACUCAACAACUUCAGAACAAAAACAUCAGCACCAAGACAUUAAUUAUAAAAGGCAAAAGAAAAUAGGUUUUGUAUUUAAAAUAUAAAGUAAUUAUUAUAUAAUUAGGAAUAAAAAAAAGUAGUUUUAAUAUAAUUUUAUUAGGUUAUUACUUUAGUUUAACCAUUAACUAAAGUUUUAUAAUUAGAAACCGAACUGAUAUCCUAAUAAAUUUGUUUACAAAAUCAUUUAAGAACUGUUAACUCAAUAACCCAAAAUUAAUAAACCAAUAGAGUAACAUUUUUUUUUAAUUCAAUUUUUAUCGGUUAAAUCUAUUUUACACACACCUAAAUAUGGACUAGUUGAAAAUAAGUUAGGCAACAAAAAAAUAAUUUUUUUUUACCCUCUUUCCUAUCUUAUGUUAAGCACCAUUUGUUCUUAGUAAGUCUUAUUCUCGUAUAAAAGAUUAUAACUGUUACAAAAUUUUAUAAAUAGGUGGCAACCCAUCUUAAUUUUGAGAAUAGACGAAAUUAUUUUGUUUUGAUUCUUCUUUAUGGGUGAUCUGAGAAUUUUUCUAUUAUUCUUCCAAAUGAAAUUUCAAUAUUAAACAGACAUAUCAAUAAAAAUCUAGACACAGAAGUAUUAGUUAAAAUAGGAUAUGAGUAAGAUUUUUGUUGUGCUUUCACAAUUUUCCAUUUGAUGCGAUGUGUCAUAAUUAAAAAAAUUAAAGGUUGAGAUUUAAUUACCUAAAUUAAAGUCCUAAUCAUGAUUAAAAUAACAAAUAAUUAUUUUAUUUUCUUUUUAAAAAUAUCAAAUCCAUAUUUCUAGUUAAAAAUUAUUUCAGAAGUCAUUUAAAACAAUCACUAUUUUCCAUUUGAUGCAGGCUCUUUUUUUUAAAAAAAAGAUAUUUUUCUUGUCCUCUUUUUUGGUCAUGCAGGAGUUCUUUAAUUUUUUCCUGUUCUUCUUUACAUUUCCAUCAAACAUUAGAGAAAUAGUCAUCUAAUGCUUAGGCCUUUCGGGAAACCGUUAGAAAACUAAUCAAUAUAUAAUGUUAAAAUUUAAAAAGAAUAUUUACAAUUUUUAUUUUUAAAAAAAAGAAUGGAUGAUGUUUUUUUUUUCUUUCUUUCAAUAACUCAAAACUGCAAAAAAAAUAAAAAUUAGAACAAAAUAGAAAAAGACUUUUUCGUAACAAAAAAAGAAAAAAAUGUUUUUAAAAAAGAGAGAAAUUUUAGAUAUAUUUAUGAAUUGAGAUCAUUUUUAGCUAGAAUUAUGAGAUUGACAUUAAUUAGGAAAUAUUAUAAAUAAAUUAUGUUUUAUUCUAAUCCUAAUUAGGACCUUAAUUUAGGUAAUUAAAUCUCAACCUUUAAUUUUUAAUUUAUGACACAUGGCUUUCAUCCGAGUAGAAACUUAGGGAAAUGGAGAGAAUGAGUAAUGGAGAAGAGUCUCAUCCCAAAAGAGUUGUCACACCCCUAUAUAAACUGCCCAAUAUAUAAUUUGUAACUAUAUCAAAAAUUAAAAAAAUAUGUUCACAAACAUGGGCUACUUGACAUCUUCUUUUAUUUUCUUCUUCCUUGCUUUUGUGACUUAUACAAAUGCUGCCACUAUCGAGGUCCGAAACAACUGUCCCUACACCGUCUGGGCGGCGUUGACCCCGAUAGGCGGUGGCCGACGUCUGAAUCGAGGCCAAACUUGGGUCAUCAAUGCGCCAAGGGGCACUAAGAUGGCACGAAUAUGGGGUCAUACUAAUUGCAACUUCAAUGGUGCUGGUAGAGGUUCUUUCUAGACCGGAGAUUGUGGUGGGGUCCUACACUAUACCGGGUGGGGUAAACCCCCAAACACCCUAGCUGAAUAUGCUUUGGACCAAUUCAACAACCUAGAUUUCUGGGACAUUUCUUUGGUUGACGGAUUCAAUAUACCAAUGACUUUCGCCCCAACCAAUCCUAUUGGAGGAAAAUGCCACGUACGCAAUUCAUUGCACGACUAAUAUAAACGGUGAAUGUCCUGGUCCACUUAGAGUACCCGGAGGAUGCAACAACCCUUGUACCACGUUUGGUGGACAACAAUAUUGUUGUACCCAGGGUCCAUGUGGUCCUACAAAUUUCUCAAGAUUUUUCAAACAGAGGUGCCCUAAUGCGUAUAGCUACCCACAAGAUGAUCCUACUAGCACAUUCACUUGCCCAAGUGGUAGUACAAAUUACAGGGUUGUUUUUUGCCCAUAAUUAAUGCCACAAUAAAGCACAUUUUGCAACAAAUGGUAUGAAAAAAUCACCAAAAUAAUAAGUAUCUUAAAAGGUUUGCUAAACUAUGUUGCCUUAAUGUGAUAAUAAUCUCCUAUGUGUGUAAUGUAUAUCUCCCUUCAACUAAUAUAGUUUUAUCAUAAUGAAUAAAUAAUUAUAUCGUUAAUUAUUACUUUUACGUCAAUGACCUGGUUAACACAUGCCUAGUGCUAGCAAAUUGGCAGGUUUGUAACUCGGGUAUGGUCGAGGUGUUUAUUGGUUGGUUCGAUUCGAUUUUGUCUAUUAUUAUUAUUAUUAUUUAAUUUCUUAAUUUUUGGUUUAUAACACGCUAAAUUGAUAACCAAACAUUAACCAAUAAGAUGUUCAUUAUCAAUUUUCAAUUGAUCGGCUAUUAAUCCUUAACAGUUUGAUUUUCGAUUUAACCUGUGCUCCUCUAAUUUUAUUUUAUUUUUUGCUUUCUCUAUUUUAUUUUGUUCAUAUACACAUCUUCAUGCAUGCAUACAAAUCCACACAAAUUACAAAUAUAAGCAAAUUCAAAUAUGUUAUUGCUAAAAUAAACUUAUUUUCUUUCUUGCUAAGUAGCAAACAUGAAUGUAGAAUUUUCCUAUUAUUUUUCUAACUAACAUUUCAAUAUAAAGCAAACUUUAGUCUCAAGAAAAUCUAGACUUAUAGUAGUAUUCGUUAUAAUUAAAAUAGGAUAAGAUCAUUUCAUAUGAUGACUUUUCUCUAUUACUCCUUCAAUAUGAUGUCUAACACUUUAACAAAUAUAUAAGUGGGCAGUGGCUAGUAAAUUUCUCCCUUAUAGAAUUCCUUACUAUCAUUCCAUCCAUUUAAUUCUUUAAUAUAUUGAAAGAGUCACAAUUUCCCACAAUUUAUGUAGUGGAAGUUUUAAGAUAAUAUAUUUUUCUUACAAAGAUUUAAGAGACUUGGCUAAGUUUAUAAGUUGUUUAAAUGGUUUUAUAAGUAUCUUUUAACUUUAUUUGCGCAAUAUAUGAUAACAUCCAAAGUACUUAUUUUAUAAGCCAUUUAUGUUUGACAAUUUUUCUUUUACUAUUUUAUCCUUUAAAAUUAAAAAUACCAAUUUGCUACUUCCACUAUCACUAUGAUCAUAUAUUUUCUACUCCAAUACCUAUUUUUUUUUAACCACAUUGCCCCAAAAUUCUUCUCUAUAAAUACCAAUUUUAUCUCAUCACACAAAACACAUAAAAAGGCUAAGUAACCAUUUUCAUUUUUUUUUAAAUGUUCAUUUUCAAGUCCAUGUUUAUUUUUCCUCUUGUUCUCUUUGUUCAUUUUCUCCUCUUCACUCACUCUAACUAACGCAGCUAUAUUCGAAAUUCGAAACAAUUGUCCUUACACUGUUUGGGCCGCAUAUGUGCCAGUGGGUGGUGGUGUCCAGCUCAACCCUAACUCCAAUUGGACAAUCUAUGUUCCACCUGUCACGUCAUGAGCCCGUGUUUGGGCCCGAACCGGUUGCAAUUUCGAUGAUUCGGGCCGUGGUAAGUGUCAGACUGGAGAUUGCAAUGAUCUACUCCAUUGUGAAUCUUAUGGGCUACCACCAAACCCUUUGGCUGAAUAUUCCCUAAAUCAAGACAACAAUCUUGAUUUUUUUCGAUGUCUCUUUUAUCGCUAGAUUCAACGUGCCAAUAAAAUUUAUCCCUAUAUCGAAUGGGUGCACCCGUGGCAUUAGGUGUAGUGUGGAUAUUAACAUGAUAUGUCCAUGUGUGCUAAAAAUUCGCGGAGGAUGUAACAAUUCUUGUACGGUUUUUAAGACCGAUCAAUAUUGUUGUUAUUCUGAUAAAUGUGGUCCAACAAUAUAUUCAAGUGUUUUUAAGGAGAGGUGUUAUGAUGCUUAUAGUUACCCUAAGGAUGAUAAAACUAGCAUUUUUACUUGUCCUGGAGGAACUAAUUAUAAAGUUGUUUUUUGCCCAUGAACUUUCCAAGAAAUAAUAUUUUGGUUGCUAACAAUGGUAUGAAAAAUUACCAAAAUAAUAUUGAUAAUAAGUUUGUAUAUAUGCUUGUGGAAUAUAUACACACCCUUCAAGUUAAAUGUUUUUAUAAUGAAAUAUAAUAUACGGUCAGUCUUGUUGGUUCUUUACAUAUAGUUUUGAUGUAACAAGUAUAUUUCGAUUCAUCCUAUAGUUUAUCGUUUGUCAUUUAUGCAUUAGUUUAAUUCUUCUCUAUAUCCCAGAAGAAAUUAAAUGAGUUGAACAAAGAUAAUAGCCUUUUCAGAUAUUCUAUAUGUAUAAAUAAAGAUUAUUUCUUAUAAGCAAAUUAUAAAAGGCUAGAAAAUCAUUUCUCCCAAUUAAUAAGUAGAUGUAAAUCUCUCGAUAUAACUUGUUAAAUACGAUAACUAACAUACACACUAUUAUAGAUCAAACAAAUUUACACCUUCCCUAGACUAUAUUUGUGAGAUUUCACUGAUAUAUAUAUAGUAGUAGAAGUAAGUAUAACAAAAAUUAAGUCACAUUUAUUUAUCACCAAAUAUGGUGGAAACAUUAACUAUAUUACUGCUCCAAUUUAUUUUUCUGGAGGCUAUAUACAUAUAUAUAACAUCAAUUAAUUUUGUUUAACCAACUUUGGGAAUUUGUACAACAAAGUCCAAUAUAUUAACAAAAAGACGAACUCUAUUGCAUCUCAAAUCUUCUGUAAAAGCAGAACCAUUCAGUAGAGUUUCAACAUUUGUUAAUUUUGGAUUUUCCUUCUGAAUUAUUUGCUUUGCAAACUUAGCUGGUGUUCCAAGAAGUUCUGGCCACCUUUCCUUUGUCACACCUAUAAUUUACAAAAAUACAACUAAUUAAUUAAAGACCAUAUUUAUAUAUUAUGUCAUUGUCGAUUGAUUAAAAGUUCUAUAAAUCAAAAGUUACUUUAUACGAGGAAAAAAUCAACAAUUAGGGUGUGUUUGGUACGAAGGAAAAUGUUUUCUAGAAAAUAUUUUUUAUAUUUUGUUAGAGAGUAGGAAAAUAGUUUCUGACUCGGAAAUCAAUUCCAAUAAUCGAUCCAGGACUAGAUCUCGACACGCGAUAGGACAUAAUCUGACGACAGAUUCGGAAUCCGAGCAUGAGAUUUAACCUAAGACCUGACCCUGACUCCCAACCCAAGACACGACAUUUGAAUUGGGACCCUGACCUCAACCCCGACAGUCGAACCUAUAGGCACGACCCCGAUAAUCAACCUGAGAUUCGAUCCUGACAUUCGUUCAAAUUUAGUUGGGCCUCAUACGAAUAUCAAACACCGAACGAAAAAAAAAGAAAUGAAGAUGAUAGAGUAAAAACCAAACCUGGACAAAAUGAUUGAGACAAAUCAUGUAGUUGUAAGACAUUUAAGCCAUCACUAACUUCGAUUUCCAAAUCUCGAGCAGUGAGUGAUUGAAAGCCUGUUCAUAAAUAAUUUUACAUAAUUAAUUACGUUUUUUUUUAAUAAAUAAAAAUAAUAUAUGUGAAGAAAUUAAAUAAAGUAUAAAUAAAUGGUCAAUUAAUUACAUGAUGCAAGAAUUAUCAAGAAAGCAACCAACUUCACCAUAGACUUAUUUGCCUCCAUUUAAUUCUGCAAUUUCUUUAAAGAAUCUAAGUUUAUAUUUGUGUUGUUAGAUGCAUUUAGUUUUAGAGGUAUAUAUAGAUAUUUUUUAACUAAAUUAUACAUGAUUCACUUGUUUCUCUAAAAGCAGCCAUACUAACGUUAUUUUAAUGUGGAUCGACGAUAAGCUUGAUGACUUGUCGAUCAAUUCCUCCCAAUUUAUUUUAAUUAGUAAAUGUAUCCAUGCUCCGAUCGUAAAAAUAAAUAAAAUAUGAUAUUAAAUAUUUAUUGACUUUUGCAUCAAUAGGGGUUCUUUUAAUAGAUAUUUGCACUAAAAGUUGUGACUCCAAUCCAGACUUAGAAUAAUCAAACACUUGUCACGAAUUACAUAGACUUCCCCAUCAGACAGAAUAGUUGUGAUUUUAAAAUUAGAAUGAUUUGUAUAUUUCACAUUGAUCUAACAAAUGAUCCAAACGAGUAAUAUGAAAAAAAACUAUUUUUUACUUUCAAUUUUCAUGAUUUUUUAUGUUCAAACGCGUACCUAGAAGGCUAGAACGAUAAAAGUAAAAAUGGGCAUAGUAUGCAAGAAACUUUGGCCACGAAAAAUCUGAAAAUAGCUGCUUUUUAAUAUUUAGUUUUAAGAAAAGUUCCGUCACGUUACAGAGUUUAUAUGUCAAAGUUAUCACCAAAUAAAGUUAACUUGUAACUAUAGGCUAUAUUCAUAAAAUAAUUAAUUAUUAGGCGGCUCUUAUACAUUUUUCCACAUCAACGUUUACCAAAUCAUAUUGUAAUAUAUUUCGUUUAUAAUUAGUCAAAGUAUGAUAUUGUUAUAUAAUACGAUUAAUAUCCAUAGUGCCAAAAGCCGCCAUAUCCCUAUAUAUAAAGUACCAAAAAUAAUUUGUCCACAUAUAAAUUUCAACAAACAUGGGCUACUUGAGAUCUUCUUUUGUUUUCUCCCUUCUUGCUUUUGUGACUUUCACUUAUGCUGUCACUAUCGAGGUACGCAACAACUGUCCAUACAUCGUCUGGGCGGCAUCGACCCCGAUAGGCGGUGGCCGACGUCUCGAUCGAGGCCAAACGUGGGUUAUUGAUGCGCCUAGGGGCACUACGAUGGCACGUAUAUGGGGUCGUACUGGAUGUAACUUCGAUGGUGCUGGUAGAGGUUCGUGCAUGACUGGUGAUUGUGGUGGUGUCCUGCAGUGCACCGGGUGGGGCAAACCACCAAACACCCUAGCUGAGUACGCCUUGGACCAGUUCAGCAACUUAGAUUUCUGGGACAUUUCUUUAGUUGAUGGAUUUAAUAUACCGAUGACUUUUGCCCCGACUAAUCCAAGUGGAGGGAAAUGCCAUGCAAUUCAAUGCACGGCAAAUAUAAACGGUGAAUGUCCUGGUCAACUUAAAGUACCCGGAGGAUGUAACAAUCCUUGUACCACGUUUGGAGGACAACAAUAUUGUUGCACCCAAGGUCCAUGUGGUCCUACGUUCUUUUCCAAUUUUUUCAAACAAAGAUGUCCUGAUGCGUAUAGCUACCCACAAGAUGAUCCUACUAGCACAUUUACUUGUCCUAGUGGUAGUACAAACUAUAGGGUUGUCUUUUGUCCUAAUGGUGUUGCUGGCCCAAAUUUCCCCUUGGAGAUGCGUGCAAGUACUGAUGAAGUGGCCAAGUAAAUGAGAAAUUUUGCUCUCUUAUACAAUUUAAACGGAAGAUAAUAGCCUUUUCAGAUUUUCUAUAUGUAAAAAUAAAGAUUAUUUCUUAUAAGCAAGUUAUAAAAGGCUAGAAAGUCAUUGAUAACAAGUUUGUGUAUAUGCGUGUGGAGUAUAUAUAUAUAUACCCUUCAACUUAAAUGUUUUUAUAAUGAAAUAUGAUAUAAGGUCAGUCUAAUUGGUUCUUUACACGUAGUUUUGAUGUAUCGACUAUAUUUCGAUUCAUCCUAUAGUUUAUCGUUUGUCAUUUAUGCUUUAAUUUAAUUCUUCUCUAUAUCCCAGAAGAAAUUAAAUGAGUUGAACGAAAGAUAAUAGCUUUUUCAGAUAUUCUAUAGUAAUAAUAAAGAUUAUUUCUUAUAAGCAAAUUAUAAAAGGCUAGAAAAUCAUUUCUCCUAAAUAAUAAGUAGAUGUAAAUCUCUCGAUAUAACUUGUUAAAUAUUAUAACUAAUAUACACGUACACUAUUAUAGAUUAAAAUGUAUUCAUUUGGUAAUCAAACAAGUUUACGUUAUAAUUGAGGUAAGGUUACGUACACAUCACUUUCCACAGACUCCAGUACUUGUGAGAUUUCAAUGAUUAUUGUUGUUGUAGUAGUAUAUGUAUAACAAAUGAAAAAUCAUAUUAUUAUUAAAAGCCACAUUUAUUUAUCACCAAAUAUAGUGGAAACAUUAACCAUAUUACAGCUCCAAUUUAUUUUUCUGGAGGGUAGGUACAUAACAUGAAUUAAUUUUGUUUAACCAACUUUGGGAGUUUGUACAACAAUGUCCAAUAAAUUAACAAAAAGACGAACUCUAUUGCAUCUCAAAUCUUCUGUAAAAGCAGAACCAUUCAGUAGAGUUUCAACAUUUGUUAAUUUUGGAUUUUCCUUCUGAAUUAUUAGCUUUGCAAACUUAGCUGGUGUUCCAAGAAGUUCUGGCCACGUUUCCUUUGUAACACCUAUAAUUAAUAAAAAUACAAGUAAUUAAUUAAUGUGUGUGUGAGAGAAAUAUUUAUUGUGGUGGAAAGAAUCAUAAAUAUUAAUAUGCACAAUUAUAUAUAUACAAAUGAUAAACUGUCCCCGGCUUAAUGUAUGACGAGUGUGUAUAUUUGUUCAAUUUUAUAUAGAGUUUUAGUGAUUAUUUGUAUACAUUCAAAGUUGAAUGGCAUAUAUGUCAGUUAAGGCUAAGUUAAAGAGCACAUUUAUACAUCAUGUCAGUAUCGAUUGAUUAAAAGUUCUAUAAAUCAAAAGUUACUUUAUAUCAGAAAAAAAAAACAAUUAGACUUCAACAAUAAUCAGGAGAUGAAAGACCAACAAGAAUUGUGAUUGGUGGAGUGUUAAGUAUAUAUGAAUCUUAAUUUAUAUAUCUUUAAUCAAAUGUAUUAGGUUCGAGUCCCCUGAAUAUAGAUUCGUCAAUUGUUAGAAAAUAUUUUAUUUCUCGAUGUGAAUUCAAAUUUAGUCAGACCUCAUACGAAUAUCAAACAACGAAUCAAAAAAAGAAGAAGAAGAUAGAGUAAAAGCCAAACCUGGACAAAAUGAUUGAGAGACAUCAUGUAGUUGCAAGACAUUUAAGCCAUCACUAACUUCGAUUUCCAAAUCUUGAGCAGUGAGAGAUUGAAAGCCUGUUCAUAAAUAAUUUUACAUAAUUAAUUAUUUUUUUUAAUAAAUAAAAAUAUAUAUUUAAAAUAGAAAGAAAUGGUCAAUUAAUUACAUGAUGCAAGAAUUAUCAAGAAAGCAACCAACUUCACCAUAGACUUAUUUGCCUCCAUUUAAUUCUGCAAUUUCUUUAAAGAAUCUAAGUUUAUAUUUGUGUUGUUAGAUGCAUUUAGUUUUAGAGGUAUAGAUAGAUAUUUAUAGGAGAUAUCUUUUAACUUCAACUGUACAUGAUCCACUUGUUUAUCUAAAAGCAGCCAUACUAACGUUAUUUUAAUGUGGAUCGACGAUAAGCUUGAUGACUUGUCAAUCAAUUCCUCCCAAUUUAUUUAUUGAUUUUUGCAUCAAUAGGGGUUCUUUUAAUAGAUACUUGCAUUAAAAAGUUGUGGUCCAACAAAUGAUCUGUUACAUCAAAAUCGUGUUGAUUUGUAUAUUUCAUGUUAUUCUAGCAAAUGAUCCAUACUACGAGUAAUAUGAAGAAAAUAUAACUAAUUUUACUUUCAAUUUUUAUGUUCAAACGCGUACUAAACACGAUAAAAGUUAAAAAUGAGCAUAGAUAAGUAUGGAACAAACUUUGGUCACGAAAGAUAUUGAAAUGACUGUUUUUUUUUUUUUAAUUUAGUUUUAGGAAAAAGUUCCGUCACGUUACAGAGUUCAUAAAAUAAUUAAUUAUUAGGCGGCUUCUUAUAUAUUUUCCACCUCAACCUUUACCAACGCAUAUUUUAAUAUUAUUCGUUUAUAAUUAGUCAAAGUAUGAUAUUGUGUUAUAUAUGAUUAAUAAAAAUCCAUAGUGCCAAAAGCCGCCAUACCCCUAUAUAAAGUACCAAAAAAUAAUUUGUCCUCAUAUAUAAAUUUCAACAAAUUAACAUGGGCUACUUGAGAUCUUCUUUUAUUUUCUCCCUUCUUGCUUUUGUGACUUACACUUAUGCUGCCACUAUCGAGGUACGCAACAACUGUCCAUACACCGUGUGGGCAGCAUCGACCCCGAUAGGCGGUGGUCGACGUCUCAAUAAGGGCCAAACAUGGGUCAUCAAUGCUCCAAGGGGAACAAAGAUGGCACGUAUAUGGGGUCGUACUGGUUGUAACUUCAAUGCUGCAGGCAGGGGUUCGUGUCAGACUGGUGAUUGUGGUGGAGUCUUGCAGUGUACCGGGUGGGGCAAGCCCCCAAACACCUUGGCUGAAUAUGCCUUGGAUCAGUUUAGCAACCUAGAUUUCUGGGAUAUUUCUUUAGUUGACGGAUUCAAUAUUCCAAUGACUUUUGCCCCUACCAAACCUAGUGCUGGGAAAUGCCAUGCAAUCCAUUGCACGGCCAAUAUAAAUGGUGAAUGUCCUCGCGCCCUUAAGGUACCUGGAGGAUGUAACAAUCCUUGUACCACGUUUGGAGGACAACAAUAUUGUUGCACCCAAGGUCCAUGUGGUCCUACAGAGUUGUCCAAAUUUUUCAAGAAAAGAUGCCCCGAUGCUUAUAGCUACCCACAAGAUGAUCCUACUAGCACAUUUACUUGUCCUGGAGGUAGUACAAACUAUAAGGUUGUCUUUUGUCCCAAUGGCGUUGCUGAUCCAAAUUUCCCCUUGGAGAUGCCUGCAAGUACUGAUGAAGUGGCCAAGUAAAUUUGAGUCUCUUUCUUUAAAAUUACUUCAAGUGGUCGAGUGAUCUCUGGUGUAAUGAAAAAUCUUAAUAGCCCAGUUGGUUAACUAUUUAAACUUUUACUUUAUUAGUGAGAGUUUGUAAUAGACUUAAGACCUAAAUAAGAGUUACAUCCCACGUGUACUUUACUUGUUGAAGUAUAAAUCAACAGUGCAUUUGAAUUAUCGUUCUUUUUAAAAAAAUAAAAAAUAACUUUUAGUAAAGUGUUAAGACUUAGACCAAAAAACAAACAAAAAAGUAUUGAUAAUGUCCUAGCUGAACUAUGAAAAGGUGAAAUUUUAUCUUUUAAAUUUUGGUUAAUUGAAUUUAUUGCCCUGAGAAUCAUUUCGCGCUGUUAUGUAUAUGAGCCUCUUUAAAUCGGACUUAUUAUUAGUAAUUCACUACCAGAAAUCAGACUUUUUUGGUCACUAGGAGCAUAGUAAAUCGCCACUGAAUAUUUUUAGUGGCGACCAUAAUGUCACUGCAAGUAACUCCAUAACUAAUGUGAAUUAAAUUUGCGACAAAAAUCGACGAUAAAAACCACCAAAUAGAAUUUAGGUAAAUCGCCAGUGCAAUUACGCCUUUACUCUGAUUUACUCACGACAUUUAAUUAGGUCGCUACAGAGUUAAGUUUCUAGCGAACACUUAAACUAUCAUUUUUUUAAAAUUCUAUAUUUAAAUUAUUGAGAGUGUAAGAAACACCCCUAAACUAUAUCACUCAUAAGUUUGAACAAAACACCUCAAGUAAUAUGUGAUAGUGUUUGUAUUACACUCUCUUUUUUAAAAAUAAUAUAAUUGUCACGUGAAAAAAAUGUCACAAUGGCAAAAAGUUCAAAAUUAAAAGAGUGAAGUGUCAAAAAUGGGUCCUGCAGUGCCCAAUCCAAAUUUAAUCGGGAAUUUAAUGUAGGCUCCGAACACCGGGUGAAAAAUAAAAAAAAUGAACAAUGAAAUUGAGAAGCUAUCAUGGUAUUAGUUGGAGAGAGAAUGAGGAAAUUUAUCAUUUUAUCCCUUUUCCAAGAUGGGAAAUUGAAGAUUUGUGAAGUGAAUUAAUGCUUAGGGGAAAGUGUAGAUUUACUAAUUGAAGAUUUUAGAUGCAAUCAAUUGGAAUAACUUUCAUUAUUUUAUUGAUUAUGAUCCGAAAAUUUAGCCUCCAAAUAAUCGACAAAAUAAAUAAUACGGGUGAAACUUGAACACGAAAUAGAAAAUGACAUAGAUAACUAGUCUCUCCGUUUUAUAUUAGUUGAUCUUUAUACUAAAUAUAAUUGUCUCAUUUUAGUUUAUCACUUUACUAAAUCAAGUAAAGAUAAUUAUUUUUUUCUAUAUUACCCUAGCAAUUAAUUUUUUUUGAAAGUGUUUAUAUUUGUUUGUAAAAUUUUCAAGAAGUUUUUUAAGAGGUGAAUUAAUAAAAUUAUCUUCUUAUUUAUGAUUUCUUAAACACUACGCAAAAUAAAAAAUGAUCAACUAAUAUGAAACGAAAAAAAUAUGAAAGAAAUUUUGUCCAUGAAAGAAAAAUAAUGGUUACUUCUUUCAAUUAAGUUUUAAGAAAAAGUCUUGUCACGUUAUACCAAAUAAAUUUGUCUUCUAUGUUAUCCAUAUGGAUUGCAGUCAAAAUAGAUGAAAUUUCUCUAUUCUUAAUCAAUGUGAAUUUGAAUCUUUAGAAAUGAAAAAAUCUUAUUAAGAGCACUAUUAAUUUGUAAAUUUAUAUUUAAAUAGGAUAACAAACACCGAACACUGGAUAAGAAAUCGAAUAAAAAUAAUAGUUUGACUUUUAUUUUCAUAUAAAGUAAUGGAGUAAUUAGUAGGCGGCUCUUAUAUGUUGAGCCACCUCAACCUUUACUUAAACAUAUUUCAAAAUUAUUCGUUGAUUAGUCCAGUGUGAUAUUGAUAUUUGUGAUUAAAAUCCAUAGUUUCAAAAGCCGCCACACCCCUAUAUAAACUGCCCAACGAUUUGUCAAUAUAUCCAACAACUUAGAUUAAAAAAUAUAGUUCCACAAACAUGGCCUACUUGAGAUCUUCUUUUGUUUUCUUCCUCCUUGCUUUUGUGACUUACACUUAUGCUGCCACUAUCGAGGUACGCAAUAACUGUCCAUACACCGUGUGGGCGGCAUCGACCCCGAUAGGCGGUGGCCGACGUCUCGAUCGAGGCCAGACAUGGGUUAUCAAUGCGCCGAGGGGCACUAAGAUGGCACGUAUAUGGGGUCGUACUAAUUGCAACUUUGAUGGUGCUGGUAGAGGUUCAUGCCAGACUGGUGAUUGUGGUGGGGUCUUGCAGUGUACCGGGUGGGGCAAACCACCAAACACCCUGGCUGAAUACGCCUUGGACCAGUUCAGCAACCUAGAUUUCUGGGACAUUUCUUUAGUCGAUGGAUUUAAUAUUCCGAUGACUUUUGCCCCAACCAAUCCUAGUGGAGGGAAAUGCCACGCAAUUCAUUGCACGGCUAAUAUAAAUGGUGAAUGUCCUGGUUCACUUAGGGUACCUGGAGGAUGUAACAAUCCUUGUACCACGUUCGGAGGACAACAAUAUUGUUGCACCCAAGGUCCAUGUGGUCCUACUGAUUUGUCUAGAUUUUUCAAACAAAGAUGCCCUGAUGCCUAUAGCUACCCACAAGAUGAUCCUACUAGCACAUUUACUUGCCCUAGUGGUAGUACAAAUUAUAGGGUUGUCUUUUGUCCUAAUGGUGUUACUAGCCCAAAUUUCCCCUUGGAGAUGCCUUCAAGUGAUGAAGAGGCUAAGUAAAAUUGAGUCUCUUUCUUUUAAAUUGCUUGAAGUGGUCAAGUUAUAUUGGCUUGUAAUAAACCUAUUAUAUAAAACAUGAAUAAGAGUCACAUCAUCACAAAUCUGUUGUGUCGAAUAUUAUUUUAUGUUCUUCUGUGUAUAUUUUGUUGUUUACGGCAGCAGCUUGUCAAGUAAGAGAAUGAUGGCGGUCAGUUCAAGGACGUAAAGGCUAUAAUAUACCGAAUAAGAUAAAUAAAGAUAUCUCAUAAAAUUAUUUUAUCUCACUUUCUGUAUACGAUAAAAGUUCCAUCAUUUAGUAUAAAUAAUAAAAUAAAUUAAUAUCAGAAUUAACUAAUAACUCAAAACAACAUAAAAUAAAAUUAAUCCCAAUUUUUAUUCGAAAUUAUUAUCCAUAAUUUUAGGUCAAAGUCAAUAGAUAGAUAGAAAUAUUUGUUUAUAGGCGGCUCUUAGAACAUUUUCAAGUACGUACGUAACUAAACGAUGCUCUGCACGUGCUACUUGAAUUCUAUGCAGAAACUCCUCAAAAUAAGCAAAUACAUUUGACACAAAGACAAAAGAUUAAAUUAAGAAAUUUAUAUUUUUAUUAAAAAAAUAUUUUUAAAUAUAGAAAAUUCAUUAUUUUUAUCUUUAACAUGAUUUUACAUAUUUUAGAGAAUUAAAAGUGAAAUAGGUUUUAUUAACUUAUUAACUUCAUGUAAUAGAUUAACAAAUUGACUUUAUCGCACUCACAUAUAUUAAAAUGAAAUUGUGAAAAAUAAAUAUAAUAAUUUGUCGCCACCCAAAAGGCAAAAAAACAUAAUAGAACGUGACUUUACUAGCUAAUAUCAAUCUCCUAUGAAGCAACGAUUGAUUUGAACUUAACAGAAAUUGAUGGGAUGAAAUGACUAAAUAUUGUAUUAGGAUAAAAUAACAACAUUACUUUGGAAAAUAAUAUUCUUUUGUCGAUAUAGUAAGUAAUGAUCAAUAAUUAAUUAACCACCAAGCAACAUAAAAGACCCCACUCACCAAUAUCUCCAUGUACCCCCAUUUUCUUGACUUUUGAGUGUAGAUAUACAUACGUUUUUCUUUUAAUUAUCCACUUGACAUAUGACAUAUUUUUUCUAUCGUAAUGGUGGGGAGUUAAAAAGGUUACAUGAUGCGAAUUUAAUUUAUUUGGUACGCUUUUAAGGAAAAGGAAGGGUGAAAUUAUUUGAAUAUAUCUUGAUAAUGAUUUAUCAUUUUCAAAUAAAACGUGACAAAUAUUUUAGAACAGAGUGAGUAUUACUGUGUGCUAAGGACUUUGCUUCUUUUUUUCAGGAUUAGUUGCAUAAAAGUCACGGAACAUGCAUCAUGACGUGCUGAAAAUAUGCAAAGGGGCUGUGGUGGCAUGUUAGUUUUCGAUUUUUAAUAUGAUAUAUCGAGUUUGAGUCAUGAGAAUAAAAUCUCUUUUGGUUAUAAUAAGUGUUUUGCCUUCGAAGUAAGAUUUUUCAAACGCAGAUUUGAAUAUAUCAAGCCCAAUGCAGAUAUUGAAUAUCAAGGGCAUGAUUAGUAGCGGAGUAAUAAUUUUCAUUAAAGGAUUUUAAAAUAUGAAGAAGUAAACAUACGAAGAAUUCAAAGGAUCAAAGAUUCAUUAAUUAAUUAAUCACUAUAUAUAUAUUAAAAAUAAUUUUAACUAUGUAUAAAUAACGUCCGUAAUUAUUCAUGAAUUUUUUUUUAACUGAACUCCUUGCCCCUACAUGGCUCCGCCUUUGACCCUAUGCAUGAAAAUAUUCUAAAAGCCGCCUAUAAAGAUAGCUAUCCUACAGUAAUUAUCAUAGUUUAUCUUGUCCCUACAAUUUUAUAUUUUUGUUCUGAUUAUUGUAGAAUGUUAUCAACACUAUUUUUUCAUUCCUUUUCUUUCUAAGGUUUAAGACUUGAAUAAUUAGGAAUUAAAAAGACAAAAUUAAACGACUCUAAAUGCACUCUUGUGUGAAAAUUUAAAACAUCAUGUGUAAGACAAAGUACAAUAUGUUAUUCAAAUCUUAGCCACCUCAAGAUAACAAACUAAAAGAAAUGUGGAUAAUAUAAAAGACAACUAAUGACCAAAACUCAACCAUGCAAAUUGAACAAGAAAGAGGUGGCUACACUCAUGAUGAAUCUACUUAAGCAACUUCAAGAAUACUUGUAGGCAUCUCCAAUGGGAAAUUUGUUGUUUCAUUGUGAGUAGAGCCAUAAGGACAGAACAUAAUCUUGUAGUCCGUAGUCCAACUCUGACAAGUAAAAGUACUUGUUGGAUCGUCUUGAGGGUAACUAUAGGCAUCAGGACAUCUUUGUUUGAAAAAUCUUGACAAAUCAGUAGGACCACAUGGACCGUGAUUACAACAGUAUUGUUGUCCUCCGAAUGUGGUACAAGGGUUGUUACAUCCUCCAGGUACCCUAAGUGAACCAGGGCAUUCACCGUUUAUAUUGGCUGUGCAUUGAAUUCCAUGACAUUUUCCAGGUCCAGGCUUAGUUGGCCCAAAAGACAUAGGGAUGUUAAAUCCAUCAAUUACAGAAAUAUCCCAGAAAUCUAGGUUACCAAACUGGUUCAAAGCGUAUUCAGCUAAGGUGUUUGGCGGUUUACCCCAUCCUUUGCAAUCUAGGACUCCACCACAAUCACCGGUCUGGCACCCACCUCUACCAGCACCAUCAAAGUUGCAAUUAGUACGACCCCAUAUACGUGCCAUUUUAGUGCCCGGUGGGGCCCAAAACCACCAACUCUGACCUCUCUCGAGACGUCGGCCACCUCCUACGGGGACCGCCGCCGCCCAAACGGUGUAGGGGCAGUUGUUAUGGACCUCAAACACACCGGAAGCAUAAGUGUAAGUCACAAAAGCAAGAAGGAAGAACACUAAACAAGUUGUCAAAUGACUCAUUUUAGUAUAAGAAGUUGUUUGGAUAUAUUUGCAUAUCGAGCUAGGGGUUUAUAUAGUGGUAUGGCGGCUUUUUUCACUAUGGACAUUAAUCAUAUAAUAUUACUAUUAAUAUAUAUAAAGAAAUAAUCUUAAAAGGUGCUCUGCCACUUUAGUUAUAAAGGUAGAGUAUAUAUAAUUAUAUAUGUAGAAUGUACAUUAUAUAGAAAAGAAAAAUUAUUUGUAGCCAAAAUAUCUCCACUUGAAACAAAAAGCCGCCAAUACAAUAUGAGUACAGCCUAUUAUAAGCAAUAUAUUUUGUUCACUCCAGUCAUAUUUCACCGUUCAACUAUUUGCUACUUUGAAAAUUUAUCCAUAACACAUUAUGAUAUUAUUAGUUUAGUGUUUAACUAUAUAUAAAUUUAAAUUAUUUAGUUUAGUAUAAACAACGAAUGUGGGAACCAACUCACGAGAAAAUGCAUGGUGAAAAAACUAAAAUAGUGGGAAGCUUUCUAAUUAUUCCAUACGAAACAUUUACUAUUUUUUUUUCGUUUCAUACUCGAUUCAAUCAAAAUACCAGUGAGAAUAGCCACUGAAUAUUUUUCCACGAGAAAUGCAGUGGCAAAAUAGUAAUAACUUUAUAAUUACCGUAGUAGAGAAUUCUCUUCAUUCUUAAUUGGUUAUGUUUUCAUAAAUAAAUAACUUAAAAUUUUUGAAUUUGUAGUUUGUAAUUUAUUUACAGAUCACAAUUGCCUUUUUUCCCCUUGAUCUUUUUCCCGUCCUAUAUAUAUAAAAUGGAUUUUUAUAUUUAAUUAUUUAUAGCAUAUUUAUCAAGUGGACAUAAUAAUUAAUUGAAAAUGUAGUCAAAAUUGAGCAAAUGGGGUAGGCGUAGAGGUGAGUGCUGAGUGGGAUCUUAAAAGUUGAAUUUUUUUUCGACACAAGUGUCUGCUAUAGUGUGCAAGAAGCUAUAUAGAGAACUUGUUUCACACGAGAAAAAAAUAACUGAAAUGAGUUACAAACUUCGUUGUUAAUCUAGCUCAUGGAUAUCUAACAUGCAAAGUUCAUGAUAAUUUAUCGCUAAUUGGUUACUAGAUAUAGGACUAGCGAUGAUUUUUGUUAUUUAAUUACAUAAUUUGUUUGAUACUAAUUUUUGUUUUAUUUUACUUUUCCGAUUUUCCUCAUUGUCAUCAUGGUUGUCUUUGUUGUUGGUUCAUAAUAAGAGACUCUUGCGUUUAGAUGAGAUGAUUAUAUAUAUGAAUUUAAAUUCGAGCGUGCAAGAGUUUCAGGAAUUGAGUUUGUUGGUUAUUAAGCAUUUUAAUAUUAUUUUAUAUUAAAGUAGCUUUUUAUUUGUGACUUAAUGCUGCCUAACCAUUUUAUUGGUCAUGUUAAUGCCAAUUAUUCUUGGCUUUAUUGGCAGAUGUCAUAUAUCCUAUAACGUUCCUUGUGGUCAACAUCUUGGGCAGCUUUGCAUUUGCACGUUAGAGGCAUUGGUUACCCCUCUCAUUAUUCCAUUCUUAAUUCCUCCGUUAUCCUUGUAACCUACGUAACUCCUUAGAUCAUUAUCUUCACUAUUUACUACACUAUUUAUCUUUCUAUUCAUUGCUAGAAAGACUUUUUCUAGUAUAAUAGUGGUGGUCUUCAUUUGGUUUGGGACACACUACACACAAGGAAAAUAUAGAGUGCCAUAAAAGUUUUGUCAAAAAGAGAGUUCUUGUUAGUUGAAGGGAGGUGUUCUUUUUGUGGAGCUUUGGACUCAACUCUUGUCCAGAGUUGCUGAGUUAUACUUUGUGAAGGCUGUUGUAUCCUGGAGGGGACAAGUCAAGAAGGAUUACUGCUGAACCGGUGAAAAACAUUUGCUGCAGUGGACUUGAAUCUCCUUAAAGAGAGCGAGAUAUCCGCGUCUCAGCCUGAAGAGAUUUAUUUCUUCAUUUCUAUUUUUAAUUGUAAUCUUGUAUUUUUGUUAUCUCGUAAGUUUUUCACUAACAAGUUUGAUCACUUUCUACCAUCCAUUUUAAAAGAGAUGAUAACACAUUCCAAUCAACAUGAAUAAAGAACUUUAAUUAAUUCUUUUACUUUUAACAGUUUUAAUAGAACUUUUUAAAGAAAUAUUGCAAAUACAUGAGUUUUUAAGCAAAAGGUUGAAACCACAAUUGUAUUUUUUUAUGAAGGAGAACUUGGAAAUAAUUAUUAAUUGUACUAAAAGAUCAAUUAUAUUAGUCCACCUGGAGGCUGGACAGCAAUUGUGAAGAAGACAAAGAAUACGAAUAGUCAUGAAAUUACUGUUUGAUUGAUCUCCUAAUUAUUGAUGCCGAUUAUAAAAAUAAAAGUCGAUCAAUAUUCAAAUAAUGUUGAAUUUCUUAUCUAGGUGUUGAAUCGGAGUUAAAAGUGAAAGCUCUUUUUGCUAUUUCAAGUUAUGAAUUUAGAGAUCAAGAACGUCUUUUCAGAAAGAUUAGGUCAAACGAGUUAGUGAUUUUCAAAAAUCAUCUUUUGUAUUAUUGUAUAUGGACUCAUUCAUUGAUAAAUUUAUCUUAAUGUUCCGAUCUUUAAGCUUUUUAAUUAAUAUUGAAUUUAUUAUAUCUUUAAACUUAUAAAUUUAAAUCUAACAUAGAUUAAGAUUUUAGAAUGAAUUUUCAUAUACUAUAGUACACUUGAAAAUGUUCCAAAAGCCGCCAAUAAAAAAAUAUUUCCAUCUGUUUGACUUUUUUAUGACAUGUGCUCCUGAUUAGUAUAAGUAUAUUUUGUCCCUACAAUUUUAUAUUUUCAGAUCUAGGUACUUUAGAAUAUUAUCUAGACUAUUUUUUUAUUUAUUAAAAUUAGAAUUAAAAAAAGAAACAAUACUCCAAAUACACUCUUAAUUGAAAAUUAAAAUAUCAUGUGUAAGACAAAGUACAAUAUAUGAUCAAUAGAUCAAUAUUCAGAUCUUAGCCACUUCAAGCAAACAAAUGUAAAAAGAAAUGUGUAAAACAAAUUAAUUAAAGACGAUGUCCAACUUCAAUCAAAUUUAACAAAAAAGAGAUUGGUUCAACUCAAGAUUUAUACUUAAUUAAGCCACUUCAAGAGUACUUGUAGGCAUCUCCAAUGGGAAAUUUGUUGUUUCAUUGUGAGUAGAGCCAUAAGGACAAAACAUAACCUUGUAGUCUGUAGUCCAACUUUGGCAAGUAAAUGUACUUGUUGGAUCAUCUUGAGGGUAACUAUAGGCAUCGGGACAUCUUUGUUUGAAAAAUCUUGACAAAUCGGUAGGACCACAUGGACCUUGGGUGCAACAAUAUUGUUGUCCUCCGAAUGUGGUACAAGGGUUGUUACAUCCUCCGGGUACCCUAAGUGAACCAGGGCAUUCACCAUUUAUAUUGGCAACACAUUGAAUUGGAUGACAUUUUCCCGGCCCAGGGUUAGUUGGGCCGAAAGACAUAGGGAUGUUGAAUCCAUCAAUAACAGAAAUGUCCCAGAAAUCUAAGUUGCUAAAUUGAUUCAAAGCAUACUCAGCUAAGGUGUUUGGUGGUUUACCCCAUCCUUUGCAUUCUAGGACUCCACCACAAUCACCAGUCUGGCACCAACCUCUACCAGCACCAUCGAAGUUGCAAUUAGUACGACCCCAAAUACGUGCCAUUUUAGUGCCCGGUGGGGCCCAAAACCACCAACUUUGACCUCUCUCGAGACGUCGGCCACCUCCUAUGGGGGUUGCCGCCGCCCAUACGGUGUAUGGACAGUUGUUAUGGACCUCAAAUACGCCGGAAGCAUUAGUGUAAGUCACAAAGGCAAGGAGGAAGAACACUAAACAAGUUGUCAAGUGACUCAUUUUAGAAUAAGAAGAAUAUUUAUUUGUUGGAUAUAUUUACACAAUUGAGUAGGGGUUUAUAUAGGGGUGUGGCGGCUUUUUGCAAUAUGGACAAUAUUACAAAUAUACAUAUACAUAUAUAAAUAAUUUUUAGAGAUGUUUUUAAAUAAGAUAGAUCUAGGCGGCUAUAAGCAUAUACAAUUAUUAUGUACAAUGAACAUAUACAAAACCUAAUAAUUUUGUUUAGUGAUAAUAUGUCCACUUGAGAUAAUAAGUCGCAGAUAAUAUCCAUUGAAAAAAAAUAAGGAAUGCAUGAUAUUUAUAUUAUAAUACAUAUACAUAUAUUUAAUAUAAAUUAUAACAUAUAGUUGCACCCGUACCAUAUAUUCUUUUUCUCUCUUGUUCAAAUAUGUACGAUCUUAAAUUGUGUGAAAUUUUAUUUUCCUAUGUAUAUAACUUUUCGUUUUGAAAAUAAUCGUUUGAUCAAUACUCUUCGUGAUGAAAGAGGAGGCUGCAUACAAUAAUAAUAAUAAUGAGAGAAAUACACAUAUAUGAUUAUUUGACGCUGCUAUUUAACUUUUUAUCUAGUAUAUUCAAUUAUUAAAAAAAAAUCUUCACACAAGAAAUUGAAGUUCAAUUCCUAGAAAAUUAUAGUCUUACCACGACUCGUGCAUGAUGGAUUAUCAGGAUUUAAUUAAUACAAACAAUUGAAGACUUAUGUAGUUGGGCACACAUAUAUUGUCUUUUGUAACUUGUGCACACGAUAAAAUUAAAUUAAUUAGUCAACUUUAUGGCAUUACAUCAGUGAAAAACUAUUUAAGUAGGUACAAUGUUUAGAGUGUUAAUUGUUAGAUUAGUGAGUGAUAUUUAGGUUUUGAUAUCUUAAUUAUACUCCCAUUUAUAUAUCAUAGAAAUUUUCGCUGAUUGUCCCUUUUUUAAGACCAUAUUUUAGUAAAUGACUCUUUUUAUUUGUCUUGUAAUUUAUGAAUCUUUUAGACAAUAAUAUAAAAUUUUCUUUUGAAACAAACUGAAAAUCUUAUUAAAAAAAUGUUAGAUCACAUUCUAAAAUUUGUUUGUUAUAUUUCUAAGAUUUGUUUGUUAUAAAAAAUAUAUUAGAUCACAACAAGGAUAUUUUUGGAUUAAAGUAUUAAUUAUAGUGAUAUUUUUGGACAAAAAUAUUGAUAAGAUGGGCAUUUUUGAAUCAAUAUUAACGGAAGACAUUUGUUUAAUUUCACAUAGUUUAAAGAUAUUCUUUUUACCAUUUCCCAUUAAAAUAAAAGUUAAAAUGUCAAAAACACAUUUAAACUAUCUUUUUUUUAAUUCCAUGUAUUGAAAAAUUCGUCAACGUGGCUUCUUUUUUUUUUUGCCAACGCGUUCUAACUCGACUAAAUGUGUGUAUACACGUAAUACACACAACAUCACAUAUUACUUGAAGUAUGUUUCUCAAAUUUAUUAUUGAUAAUUUAAAUAUGUUUUUUAUACUCAUAAAUCAUUUAGGUGUAAAACUUAUAAAAAAAUUAGGUAUGUAUCUGAUACUUCACUCAUAAACAAUGUGAUUUUCUUUUUUCCUUUUUUGGUCUAAAAUGUGAUUUUAAAUUUGACAGAUCCAUACUUCAACCCACCCGUCCGGUUCACGUUACAGUCACCGGUCUAACCCCACCUAAAACCGGUCUCUUAUUCACGUAUAAAUACACAUCAGCUCAACAUAUUCUUCAUCGGAAAAAAAACCGAUCUCUGUCCGAAAAUUCGUGCGAUUUUUCCUGGGAAUCUGCGAGAGUUUGAUUGAAAAUGGUACGAGGAAAACUUGUAGUUCAACUUGUUGGAGCUAAAGGCCUUGAAAACACUGAUUUUCUCAGUAAGUUUUUUUCUAAUUUAUUUGUUUUGAUCUGAUCGGUUUAAUGUAUGGAUCUCUUUUCUUUCGAUUAGAUUUGAUGUUUUCGAUUGUUACUUGUGUGAUCAGAGGUUGAUCUACAUGUAAUUUAUGUGUUCACACAGCACCAGUUUGACUGAAGUAGAUUUUGAAAUUGAAACUUAAAAGAAUUUAUGUUUUACGAAAUUGUGUUUGAACGUGGAGAAGAUUUGAUUUGUUUUUAUGAGUGGAAGUAAGUUUUGGUUAAGUAGAAAAUAUUUGAAGAUCGAAUCAAAUUUCAUGGUCAAACAGAUAUUUGAAAGAUGAAUUUACUCUUAGAAGAUAUGGCCAAACGUUAUUAGUGUAUAUUAAUUUGACUUCGCGUUAGAAAUGUAUAAACUUUGAAUUUUGAAUCAACGUAUGUGAUAUACUAGUGACAUUAACAUAGGUCUAUGCCUAGUCAAACUAUGUCAAAUAAAAUAGAAUCGGAGGAGCGAUCAGUAAAAAAUCAACAUUCAUCUCGGCCAAUUUGAUUGAUACUCUGUAUUUUUUCGAUUUAAGAAAUGUUAUCUUGUGUGAUACAGAUGAUAUGGAUCCAUAUGUGAUCUUAACUUGUAGAUCUCAGGAGAAAAAGAGCACUGUUGCAUCAGGUACAUUUGUCAAUAAUCUUAGGUUAUUUUUUUCUUAAUUAUAGUUACAUAUAUAUCUUAAGAAAAAUGAAAUGAAGUUUGAUCAAUUAAUAUUUAUGAUGUUGUUAAUUUCCAUAGGGAAGGGAUGUGAACCAGAAUGGAAUGAAACAUUUGUUUUCUCCAUUUCUGAGGGUACUGAAGAACUCUUCUUGAAGAUAAUGGACAGUGAUUCUAUCGGUGAGGACGAUAUUGUUGGGGAAGCUAAGUAAGUAUAUCUAUCUAAUUAGAGGCGAAUCCAAGAUUUAUACGUGUUUUCUAUAUAUAUAAACAUAGUUUGAGUUUGAUAGUGUGGUUGUACAUGCAUUUAUGACUAAUAUAUGUUGAGAUAAUUAAGUAGACGUUUAUUGCGGUCGAGAAUUAGUGUAGAAGGUUAGUAGGUAGCUGAGCCUGAGUGUUGUUGCACUUGUUAUUGGAGAGGAAGAGGGCUAGUCUAUUCUCUACUUCUCCUUGUUAGUAGUAGUAUUUUGUAUAUCGCGUAGUUUCCUUUCCUUAAUGAUUAUUACUGCUUCAUUUGAUUUGUAUCCUGCUAUUUUGUCGUCUUAUUUCCUUGCACCUUGCUUUGAUUUUUUUUUCUUUUCUUUUGAGUUGAGGCCCAUCAUAAACAACCUUCCAACCCCGCUAUGUUCAGCGUGACAUCCUACCUUCGCAAUACCCAACUUGUGGGAUUACACUGGAUAUGUUGCUAUUAUUGUUGUUGUUGUAUACAUCAUCUACUUUCUAGUAGUGUUAUACAAACCAUGGUCUAAACGGUUGAGAUUAUUAGUUUAUGGAGUCAAAUAAACAUUUAUCUAUUAGAGACGAAUCUAAGAUUUAUACAAUAUAUACAUAAUCUGAGUUUGCUAGUAUUGUUUUUGAGCUAUAUAUUCAAUGAUAUGAUAUUUGCAGGAUACCAAUUGAACCAGUUUUAUCAGAAGGGAGCAUCCCAAUAACAUGUUAUAAUGUUGUUAAAGAUGAGGAAUAUUGUGGAGAAAUUAAAGUUGGUCUCACCUUUACCCCCGAGGCAAGUUACUUUCUCAAAUUUUAUUGAUUUAUACAAAAAAGUAAGCCUGAAUCCUGAGCAAGCAAGUUCAGAUCGACUAUAUGAAUAAAGGAACUCUAACAUGCAAGUAUAAUUGGUAUGCAAUGUGCAUGAUAUCUUUUGCUAUGUUUUGUAGGAAUCUUCUGAGAGGGAGUAUGAAGAAGAGGAGAACCUUGGUGGAUGGAAAGAGUCUUCUUAUUGAUGUGAAACAUAACUCGAUUGAUCAAUUUGUUCUUGUUUAGAUUAUGAACUUCCAAGUAUUUAUUCGUUCGUUAUAACAUUUCGGGUGUCAAAGUGUGGAUUUCAUAUAGUAAAAAGAAAAAGAAACGGGCUAUUUUGAGUCCAAAUGUGUUUCCACUUUACAGCAUGCAGUGGAAUGAAAAUGUUGGGAUUUUCUUUUCAUUUUUCAAGUUAAAUUUGAUGAUGCUUCUUUGCCAUGAUUUACAAUUUAUUUUAUCAUACACUGCAAUUUAAGGUUUAUUAUGCAGAACCACAAUAUCAAGCUGUGAGAUAACCAAGUCAAAUAUCUUGAAAUUAUUGUGAAGAAAUCACUCUUAACUUUGUCCAUAACGCUCUUUAUUUUUUCUCGUUUUCAAAACAUAUGAUGGUGUUCGAGCCAACUCACCUAGACUAUUUCACCUAAAGAAUAGAUAGAUGAGUUUUUUGUACCUACUGGAAUAUGAACCUUGGUCUCAAAAAGUUGCAGACUAGUGUACUCUAUUUGAGUGCUCUUUUCAUAAAUAAGUAACCUGUUUGAAGAAGUAUUUUUUGAUGCAUCCACAGUUGUAAUGCUUUAACAGUCCAGUUAUAGAGGCAGAGAGAAAACAGAGACGAAUUUACGUGUUAUAAUAGCUUAGAGAUCCAACCUUAAUUAUGCAGAAUACAUAUAGCAAACAAUUGUCUUUCUGAAAUAGAUCGUCUAAACUCCAACGGAUUGUGGGAUCUAAGCAUUCCGAAAGUUAAAGCUACAUUUCGACCAGCUAUCUGGUUCGAAUAAACCAAAUUUAUCUGUAACCUCCAGACAAUUGAUGAAGCAUCACCUGUGGUCAAGCUUCAACCAAUUAUAGAUACCCCAAACUCCAGAAACCGCAUCAGAAAAUGUUACAACCAGAGGAUAUAGCUGCAUAAAAAUGCAUUCACAGGAGCAGCAUCGUGUUAUUAGUUGAUCCAUCAAUACACCUAACACUUCUCCUCUCUCUAUGUGCUCUCAUUCACCUGUGAGAUUUAAAUUUAGAUUGAUAGUCCUUUGCCUGGGGAUUCAGACCUGGAUUUUGAGAAACAAUACUACUGCAACCUGGUAUGCUGUUAUUCCCAUUGGGCAAAAAGGUCAAACCUGGAUUUUGAGAAACAACACUACUGUGACCUGGUAUGCUAUUAUUUCCAGUAGGCAAAAAGGUUUGAUUUAGUGCCGGUUGCUCUUUGACAACGUGCUCCUCCGAUGGAGCACAGUGGUUUGGAGCAUCAUUCAAGUAAAAACUGGAAGUGUUGAAUAAUGGCAGUUCAAAGCACCCAUCAUCAGCCUGGGUGUAGGAAGUAUUGUAUUCUUGAUGGGUAGAUCCCUGAAAGGCCAGGGUAUCUUCUACUGGUAGUGCACCUGUAAGGGUCUUGAAUGCAAAUUCCAUGCAUGGGUCUGACCAAUAGUCCCCAAAUGGAUAAGAAGCUAGUUGCGCAUGCAAUCUUCUGUUCUGCUCAUCUUGAUUCUCAGUUACCAGCUCUCCUGUUUGCUUUUCUUUAACAGGCUGGCUUUCAACAUUAAGAUCCAGAUUUCUGUGUGAUGAUUCAGGUAGUUGUGAAUCUUGCCACUGCUGGUUUUCCACAUUAAGAUCCACACUUCUCUGUGAUGGAGCUACUUGUGAAUCUUGCCAUUGUUGGUUUUCCAUAUUAAGAUCCACAAAUCUAUGUGAUGGAGCUAGUUGUACAUCUUGCCAUUGCUGGUUUUCCACAUUAAGAUCCACACUUCUCCAUGAUGGUUCAGCUAGUUGUGAAUAUUGCCAUUGCUCGUACUCACCAUUUCGUUUUUCACUGACCUGUUCUACGGUAGACCUUUCUGAGACAGACCGGUCCUCUGCAGGGAAUACCCUUCUUCCUGAUGCUGAUUCAGCUAAUUGAGAAUUGUUCAAUAAUCUAUUCUGACCGUCUUGUUCUUCUUUUGCCAGCUUUGCUGUAGGCCUUUCGUUAAGCGCAUGCUGUUCCAAGUGAACCUUUCCUCUUUCAUAUGAUAUUCCAGCUGGCUGAGAAUCUUGCAAUAUUCUCUCAUCAUUUUGCUCGUUAAACGCUUGGCCCUCUGAGAGACACUUCACAACUUUUAAAGGAUCAUUUCGUGAUGAAGCUUUUCUGCUUAGAGAGGGCUGAUCAGAAUCACCAGUUGCUAGAUCAGUUUGCUGGGCCGAUUCCCCACCAGAGACAUUCAUGGGAAGGCCUGACAAGGCUGAAUUGUUAACCACAGUUUGAAGAACACGUUCACCUAGAUUUAAAUCAGUCACCAUUUCUGGGUUGUGGCGUGAAAGUCUCUUUGAGACACGACGAACUGGAGUAGAUGACUUACUAUUUCUGAAUUUUCUCAACCUUGCUGGCUGCUUUUCCUUCUCAUUUUCUGGUAAUUGCUGCUCUGGGAGGAAGUCCAACUGGGGGGAAACAACUAAUGACCUUCUAACAUCAACAGUUUCAGCAGCUGCAGCUUUUGUGUCUCCAACUGAGUCUCUUAUUUCUGGUUCCACGUCUAGUCUUAUUUCGGUAUCUUCAUUUACAUUUUCAUAUGAAUGUUUUUCUGUUAUAUCAGCUACAAUAGAAGAAAUACUGGUGUUGAGGUUGAACAUACUGCUUUUAGAAUGUUCACUGGAAUUCUCAGCUUGCAGUGCCAUUGAACAAGUAACAUAACACUUACUACCUGCAUCAGCAACUCCCAUUUCAGAAUUGAGAAUAACAAUCAACAUGUAGAGAAUUCAGCAGGACAUAUAUCAAUGACAAGACUAAAUUGGAGGAAUUGAAAUGACUGUCGAUACUGAAUAAUGUUGUAUCUCCAAUCAGAAUUGGAGUUUGAGCAAAAUUCCCACUAAAAUGCAUCACCUUUUGAUUCAUCAGUGGCAGAAAGUUGUAUUCCGGCCAAAGAGCACCUUAAUUUCUUCGAACUGGUGUCAUGUGUUGAGGGCUGUCAAAAGAAAGAAGCUUUCAAUCAUCAGAACUUCCUCCCUUUCAAGAUAAAUCAACACACUUGUAUUGAGAAAUUAAAAAAGACCUUGCCGAACUCAAAUCUUGUCAUGAACAGUGAAAUGCAUAAAGGAUUUGUGACAACAGUCCUCUAUUGAACCAAAUAAGGGCUAAUCAAGAAUUAAGUGAAGGAAUUUCCAGAUUAUUUUGUCAGAUAGGAACAGAAAGUAAAGAGAUGACGUGAAAUGUUAAUUUAAUGCAAAACGCCACAUAAAAGAUUUUCCUCCUCGUUUAAGAACUCGCAAGGAAAAAAAAACUUGUAAAAUGGUGGUUGAAAUCUCGAAAUCAUGAAGGUAUUGAGUCAUUCUUCUAACUUUCCAUAGCAACGUUUUGCAGCUAUAGUUUAUAAAGAUAUUCCUCAUUUAAUGAACUUAUGAAAACAGGGAUAAAGCUCAGAACUGUGGUCCAGAUCUGGGUAUUAUAAGGUAAGAGUCAUUCCUCUUACCCUUCUAUGGCAUAGUCUUUACCUGUAGUUUCGUAUAAGCUAUUCUUUUUACAUAUCUAAUUCGAAUAGAAUGAUGUGGAAUUAUUCUAUUUGAGCUUGGGAGUUAUUGCUUUCCAAUAUAUCUUCUCUACGAGUAUUCUCUAAAGCAGUUGUUCAGUCUCAGACCAAGCAAACCCGUUUAAGAAGAGGUGCUUCAACACCUCCAAUACAUGAAACAAAGUUUUACACAAGACACCAACUUUACCACUGUUCUUACAGAAACAAAUAUAUCUUCCUAGUAAAAGGUUCAUACAAAUACGACCAACAAGAUUAUUACGCAAGCUGAAAUCAGUAACAUGGAUAACAGGAGUUAUCGAACAUAUAGCACAAAUAGAUUUGAUGGGGAACACGGGUGAGAGAUCCAGAAGGUGCAGACUUACAGAACUAUCCUUCAUUGUUGAACCCGGAUCCCUUUUGGUAGGCUUCACAGCACAACUUCUGAUGUCUCCAGUUUGCAGAUAGCGCAUAACAUCCUUUUUGGAACGAAAUACAUAUCCAAGCACUGGAUCCAUGUAAUACUGCAAUGUCCAAGUAAAUUUAAAAUUCUCACUGCAAAAUACUAAUGCAGCAUUCCAUGUCUGCCACAUAAGCAGCUAUAUAACCCUUCUCCAGAAGCAACCUUUCUCAUGCAUAUAUCCCAUAUCUGCAUAAGAUCAUCUCCAACCAAACACCAAAUUUUACACCAAAUCCUAUUUUGAUGUAAAAUUUGGUGUUUUAGUGCUCCAACCCAACACCAAUUCUUACACUAUUUUAGUGUGUGAAUAGUGUUACACCAAAUUUGGUGCAACACUAUUCAUCAACACCAAAUCUCUUUUUGAUUAUUUUAUUAUUAUUUGUACUAUAAAAAUUUUUUGAAAAUAUAAAUUAUAAUAAAAUAAUAAUAAAAAUUUGAAGAGAGAGAAGAUUAUAAAGAGUAUAUUCUUUUUAGUGGAAAAUUUAGUGUAGUGGGUUGGAGAUGGUUUACACUAAAAUAGUGUCAACACUAUUUGUUAUGGGUUGGAGAUGCCCUAAUGGUGUAAACCAGACUCUUUUUUUUAUGAAUUAGUAUGUGUAAAAUAGACUCUACUUGAGUAGGAUGGUGUGCAUGAGAAAAGAAGGGAGAGAGAAGUGCACAGGGGGAGAGGGAAGACAGAAAUGCUGAGGAAGCAAGAGAAUACCGGGUCCUUUUUUAUCACACGAGCAUUUUUUCUCAUUCUGAAUUCUGUUUUCCAGCCUGGUGGUAAUCCAUCCACUGAAGCUUCUUUGCUCAGAAAAGACUGAUAAGUAUUGCCAGUUCCUACUGUAUGAUCUUUUUGCUGGACAAGUAGUUCCUUUUCCCAGCCUGGAGGUAUAUCAUCAAGUGAAUUAAAAUUGCCAGUUCCUACUGUCGGAUAUUUGUUCCGGGUAAGCAUUUCCUUUUCCCACCCGGGUGGCAAUUCAUCUGCUGAAGCUAAUUCUCUGCUGAGAGAAGCCUGAUCAGAAUUGCCAGUUCUUAUUGCAGGAUCUUUGUUGUAGGCAAGUAUUUCCUUUUCCCAACCUGGGGGUAUUUCAUCCAGUGAGGCUUUUUCUCUGCUCAGAGAAGCUUGAUCAGAAUUGGUAGUCCCUACUAUAGGAUCUUUGUUCUGGGCAGGUAUUUCAUACUUCCAUCCUGGGGGUAUUUCAUUCUCCCAACCUGGGGGUAUUUCAUCUGGUGAAAGUUUUCUGCUCAGAGAAGCCUGAUCAGAAUUGCCAGUUCCUACAGUAGAAUAUUUGUUCUGUCCAAGCAUUUCCUUUUCCCAGCCUGGUGGUAUUUCAUCUAGUGCAGCUUUUCUGCUCAGAGAAGCCUGAUCAGAAUUGCCAGAUCCUACUGUCGGAUCUUUGUAAUGGGUCAGUAUUUCCUUUUCCAAGCCUGGUGAUAAUUCAUCCCCUGAAGCUUUUCUGCUCAGAGAAGCCUGAUCAGCAUUGCCAGUUCCUACUGUUGGAUCUUUGUUCUGGGCAAGUAUUUCCUUUUCCAAGCCUGGUGAUAAUUCAUCUCCUGAAGCUUCUUUGCUCAGAGAAGCUUGAUCAGAAUUGACAGUUCCUACUGUUGGAUCUUUGUUCUGGUAAAAUAUUUCCUUUUCCAAGCCUGGUGAUAAUCCAUCCCCUGAAGCUUCUAUCUUCUGAGAAGCCUGAUCAGAAUUGCCAGUUCCAACUGUCAGAUCUUCAUUCUGCGUAAGUAUUUCCUUUUCCAAGUCUGGUGGAAAUUCAAGGCCUGAAGCUUCUCUUCUCAGAGGAGCCUGAUCAGAAUUGCCAGUUCCUACUGUAGGAUCUUUGUUCUGGGAAAAUUCCUGACCAGAGACAUUCAGGGGGAUGCCCAAAGAGGCAGAUUUCUUAACAACAGCUCGAAAAGCACGUUCACCUAGAUCCAAAUCAGCCACCGGUUCUGGGCUGUGGCCCACAAGUCUUUUUGAGAUCCGUCGACCAGGUGUGAGUGGUUUCUUAGUUCUGGAUCUUCUUGACUGCUCCGGUUUUUCUUUAUUAAUAUGUUUUUCGUGCUCAUUUUCUAGUAAUUGCUGCUCUGAGGGUAGAUCUAACUGAGGGGUUGAGACAGCUGAUAACCUUUUAAUAGCGUUACUUUCAGCAGCUAUGACUUUUGUGUCUGCACUUGAGUCUCUUAUUUCUGGCUCUGUGUCUAGACUUAUUUCAGCAUUUUGAAUUGAAUGCUUCGCAAUAAUAUCAGCUGCAGAUGAUGUAAUAAUAAUGUUUGCAUUGGACGCACUGCUUUCAGGCUGUUUCUUGGAACUCUCAGCUUGUACUUCUGGUGAACAAGUAACUGAACGUUUUCGACCUACAUCAGCAAUCCCAGUUUCAGAAUUGAGAAAAAAAUGUAUAUUUAAAAAGUUGAUAAGACAAAAUCAAGGAGAAAGAUUAGAAUGAAAGAAUUGAAAUGACUGCAGUUGAUGGCCCCAACAUUUAGUCAAGUAUAUAUCACCUCUAAAGGUUAGAAUGUUAGGGAAUAUUAACUAAAGAAGUAUCACCUCUGGAUUCCUUAGCAGCAAAAGGUUGCCUUUCGGUUACAGAGCACCCUAAUUUCUUCGAAUUGGUGUCAACUGUUGUGGGCUACCAAAAGAGAGAAUUUUCAACCGUUAGAGAAUUCUCUUGUUCAAAGUAAAUCAACAUACACUAGUCCUGAGUUCAAAGAAUUAGCUUGUCAAAGUUGAAACUCAUGACAAACAAUGAAAUACAUAGUUUGUGAUUACAGUCCCAAUUAAAGGACUAGUCAAAACAAGGUGUGGAAAUUCAGCGUCAUGCCAGAGAACAUUAAGUAUGCCUACGAAUGAUGAAGAUCUCAGCUUUUUAAGUCCAACGUCAAAUUCCAGGGCUCAACCCUGGACAGGCAGUGGAAACUACCAAGCUGGAGUACAGCAGGGGAAAAGUUGGUAAAUCAAUCAGGAAAAUCUGGAAAAUGAUCCAUGCAAGCAUUUCUGGUGUGUUUGUACAGAAAGGAACCACAGAUGUGUUGAUGGAAUAGCAACUCCAAAUCACUCCCUUAUGGGUAGAAGUCUCAUGUUUAUUUAGUUGGUGAAUCUAUCUCCUACAGAUACCCCUACCUACACCUCUGACCAUUUUUUGGACUUAGUUAGCUCCUUAUCCUAAGAAUAGGACUACAUGUAACGGAGUCAACAAACUCUCUUUUGUAAUCAAUAUCUUUGUAAGCUUUGCAUUUGCUUGAUGCCAUCAAUGAAUCUACUUCAUUAAAAAAAAAGAUUAUUCUAUCAUCAUAUAGUGUGUCAAGACAUGCAGUGAAAUGUUAAUACAAUGAAAAGACAUUCAACUUAAAUUCUACACUUGAAAUAGUUAUAUUUGAUAUGCAAAAUACUUGAUAUAAAGAUUUCCCCAUUUAAAAAAACUUACAAGAGAAAUGACAAUGUCAAUUUCCAUGGAUGGUGGUUCAGAUUUGGGAACCAUGAGGUAUCGAGCCGUUCCUUUUUAACCUUCUAUAUCAUUAUAACUAGAAUUUAUAAUGAUUAUUUUUCUCAUUUAAAAGAACUUACAAGAAAAGAUCAUUGAUAACGUUCAUUGUUCAAACUGAAAACAGAAGGUGCAGUAACAUAGAAAAAAGAAGUUAUCCAACAAAUAGAAAUAACAGAGGGGUGUGUGUGUGUGUUUUGUGGUGGGGGGAAUCAGGAAUGUGAUGACUUACAGAACUCUCCUUCAUUGUAGCAUCUAGAUCCCUUUUGACAGGUUUUAUAGCACAAUUACUGAUGUCUCCAGUUUGUAGAUAGCGGAAAACAUCCUUCUUGGAGCGAAAUACAUAGCCAUCCACUGGAUCAAUGUAUAACUGAAAUAACCAAGUCAAUUUAAGAUCCGCACUAAAAUCUUUGAAUGUAAAUCUACUUAUGCAGCAUUCGUCACAUAAGCAGCUCCUACUCCUGCUAACACAACACAGCCUUUCUCAUGUAUAACCUGCCACGGCAUAAUCAUGCGAAAUAGACUGCUGGAAUAGGAUGAUAUGCAUACAAGAAGAGAGAGAGUGUACCGGGUCUUUUCUUAUCCCAUUAGCUUUUUUAGUAAUUUUGAUUUCUUUUUUCCAGCCUGGGGGCAAAUCAUCCAAGGAAGGGUCUCCAUUCAAAGAAGCCUGAUCAGAGUUGCCAGUUUCUGGUGUAGGAUCGGAGUCCUGGAGUAAUUCCUGGCUGCAGGCAUUCACAGAGAGGCUCAGAGAGGCAGAUUUAUCAACUACAGCUGGAAGAGCACGUUCACCAAGAUCCAAAUCAGCCGCCGCUUCUAUAUUUUGACCUGCAAGUCUUUUGGAGACCCGACGACCAAGGUUAAGUGACUCUGUUUUUCUGGAUUUUUUUGACUGCUGUGUUGCUUUAGAACUAUGCUUUUCCUGCUCAUUUUCUAGUAGUUGCUUCUCCGAGAGGAGAUCCGACUCAGUGGAAACAGCUAAUGGCUGUUUAACACCAACACUUACAGUUUCGAUUUCAGCAUCUUCAACUACAUUUUCAAAGGAAUGAUUCUCAUUUAUCUCAGCUAAAAUGGAUGUGAUGAUGGCAUUAGGAUCAGACACACUGCAGUCGGGCUGUUUCUUCGAACUCUCAACUUGCUGUGCAGGUGAGCAAGUACCAAAAAUUUUCCCCCCUACAUCAGUAAUCCCAGUUUCACAAUUGAGAAACAAUUACCAACAUCUAGAGAGAGAGAGCAGGUAAACAUAUUGAUAAAGAAAAAUAAAAUGAAGGGAAUUGAAAUGACUAGAACAAAUGACCAGACGCUGAAUAAACGAUGCACAUCCUCUCAGAUAGGGACUACAGAGCAAUAUUUCCAACUACAGAUUAUCACCUUUCGACUCGUCUGUCGUAAAGCCUCCUAAUUUCUUCAAGCUGGCAUCACCUGUCGUGGGCUAUCAAGAGAAAUAAAUUUAUAAACAUCAGAGAUCCCUCCCAUUCAAGGUAAAUCAACAUCCACCAGUCUUGAUAAUAAGCAAACUAAGCUCAUAAACUACAAUUUUUUUCAAAAACUAUAUCUACAAAGGAUUAAGACCAAUUACAGUCCUUCAUGAAACCAAAAUAAGGCUAGUCAAGAACAAGGAGGAAGAAUUUCAAGAUCGACCAGUUAGACAGAAAGAAUAUGCCCAUAUAUGCGAAAUGUUAAUAUGGUGAAAAGUCAUUCAACUUUGAUUUUUAUUUUUAUUUUUUGACAAAGGUAACAAUUUUGUAUAUAAAUCUUCAGCACUACAGCUGGGAUCCCAAAAACUUACAUCACAAAGCUACAUACAACUGAGUAGGCUCAGCAACCCAAAAAAAAGCCCUAUCCCAGGUCCUAUUUCAUCUUACAAGGAUCAUAGAAUGUCUACAAUUGCUAUAGGAUCAUCUAUAUACUCAGAACUACACCAAUAGCAAAAAGUGAUAUUGCAGUUCAUUUUAAUCUUAUGCAAAGGACUACUGAUACUUUCAAAACAUCUUGACUACUGAUACUUUCAAAACAUCUUGAAUUGCUCUCGUUCCAAAUGGUCUACCAUAUCACUGCUGGGACAAUUUUCCAUCUGUUUUUGUCUGUGCUACCACUCCCUUCAUUGUUCUAGCUUACUAGAGCCUGACCUGCCCUUUCUGGCAUAGUUCAUCUUAUUCCUCUGAAACUAGUAAACAGGUUCCAUAGCUGGCUAACCACUUUACAAUGUAAAAACAGAUGGUCGAUUAUCUCUGCCUUUUGCUCACAAAAAAAAACACCUUGGAGACAUUUGGAUGCCCUUCUUCCAUUCAACUUCGAUUUUACGCUUAAAUGAUUAUAUUUGAUAUGCAAUAUCAGACAAGAUUCCUCCUCAUUCAAGGGACUUACAAGUAUGGUGGUUCAGAUCUAGAAUCAAAAGGUAUUGAGCCAUUCCUUUGCCAUCCACCAAACAGUCACUAGCUAAAUUUCUUGCAAGUUAUUGAGCUUGUUUGGAUUAGCAGAUUGUAGAUAGUUGAUAAGCUUUAAGUGCUGGAAAGCAUUUUUUAAGUGCUGAAGGAAUUUUUUUAAAUAAACGUGUUUGGAUAGAAGUGUUGAAACAGAUAAUAAACAGCUCAUGUGUUUGGUAAAAAAGUGUUGAUAAGAUGGUCUUUUGUUAAAAUGACUAAAAUAUCCAUAACAUUUUUACAAAAAAUCAACAACAACAAACCCAUUGUAGUCUCAUAAGCGGGGUCUGGGGAGGGUAGAGUGUACGCAGCGCUACCCCUACCUCGAGGAGGUAGAGAGGCUGUUUUCAGAAGACCCUCUACCUCAAAUAUAUUUCAUAUAUUAAAAUAUAUUUUUGUAAGGAAAAGGACGAACGACAAAUAUAGAGUGGAGAGUAAGUUAGAGCUUUGUUUGUAAAAGGUACUUAGUGAAUUAGAAAAUAUAUCAAGGAUAAAAUCAUAAAACUUUAGUCAAACCAAACGUACUUACAAAUUGAAAAGCCAUAAGUUGGGAACGAGCAACUUACAAUUUUUGGCUAAUUUUGGAAGGCUUAUAAACACUUUGACUGCUAUCUAACGCAUAAAUGAGCCAAAAGGUGCUUACAAGCCAGGUUAACUAGUUUAUAAGAUAAGCCGAAUGCCCUUGUUGUCUACACAUCUUUCAAUUUGCAUAAUAAGAUGUGAAAUUAUUCUCUUUAAACUUGGAUUUUUCAAGUGCGACUAAAAUUUCACAACUUCAAUGAGCCUGCCUGCUUUAGAAGGCACUAAAUACACUACUCUUACAGGAUGGAAUGUGUUUUCCUACUAAAGGGUUGAGACUGGUGCAUCUCACUGAAGGCAACAUUACAAACAUGACCAACAAGGUUCUGUAUGCAAGCUGAACACUUAAAUGAAAAAGGGCUAUAAAACAAGUUCAAAUAACAGCAGUAAUGGGUAGAGGGAGGGGGGGAUCAGGAAAGAUGUGACUUACAGAAUCAUCCUUUGUAGUUGAAGCUACAUUCCUUUUCGCAGGUCUUCUAGCACACCUACUAGCAUCUCCAGUUUGUAGAUAGCGCAAAACUUCCUUUUUGGAGUAAAAUUUAUAUCCAUGUACUGGAUCCGUGUAGAGCUGCAAUGACCAAGUCGACAUAAAAUUCUCAACUUUGAAUAUAUAUCUACUGUCACAGCAUUCCACGUCAAUCCCACAAGGAGUCCCCUAACCCUGUUUCCAUAGCACCCUUUCUCAUGCAUGCUAAAAUACUGCAUAAAGGUGCAAAACAGAACGUCCCCCUUAAACAGAUUAUACUUGUAUAUACAAUAUGGGUUGUGCAAAGGUUAGCACCAUAUCCACUUUAAUUUACCCAAAUUGUCCAUACUAUCUCAUUAAAAAAGGGACGUUUAUUUUAACCAAAAAAGUUGAAGUCUCUUCUCCCCAACCCCACUCCCCCCACAAUCUUUUCCCAGCUCCCUACUGCUUCAAUGGAAUUCCUGUUACGGCUACGAUUAGUUUCUAGAAUUUCAAUCAGCACAUCCAAGAUUGAUCAUGGAAGGGAUAAUGAACCCAUUUUAGCACAAGUGAGGUGGUCUUUGUGGAGACGAAAUGAGUAAAUGAGAUGGGUUUCUUUCAAUUGGGAAAUGUCUGUUGGAGUUGAAGAUGAACAAUAAAUACCUUGGUAGACAAUAUUUCAAAAAAAUUUAGCUUUGUUAUGAAAAGAUGCACAUAUUCUAAAUUCAUAUGGUUUCAACAAAUCCUUUCUAACUUCCCCUUUCCUAUUGAUGAACAAAACUAAAAUUACUCGAACCAUAGAACAAUUCCCUUUUUAUAUUGGGAAAAUGAAAAGUGGGUAUGGUGCUAAGUACUACAUUCAUGUAGUAGGUUCACAAAAUCCUGUAUAUACACACACAUACAUAGAUGAUAGAUAGUAACAGAAGGGGGGGGGGGGGGGGGGGGGGGGGGGGGAAAAAAUAAAAAAAAAAGNNNNNNNNNNNNNNNNNNNNNNNNNNNNNNNNNNNNNNNNNNNNNNNNNNNNNNNNNNNNNNNNNNNNNNNNNNNNNNNNNNNNNNNNNNNNNNNNNNNNNNNNNNNNNNNNNNNNNNNNNNNNNNNNNNNNNNNNNNNNNNNNNNNNNNNNNNNNNNNNNNNNNNNNNNNNNNNNNNNNNNNNNNNNNNNNNNNNNNNNNNNNNNNNNNNNNNNNNNNNNNNNNNNNNNNNNNNNNNNNNNNNNNNNNNNNNNNNNNNNNNNNNNNNNNNNNNNNNNNNNNNNNNNNNNNNNNNNNNNNNNNNNNNNNNNNNNNNNNNNNNNNNNNNNNNNNNNNNNNNNNNNNNNNNNNNNNNNNNNNNNNNNNNNNNNNNNNNNNNNNNNNNNNNNNNNNNNNNNNNNNNNNNNNNNNNNNNNNNNNNNNNNNNNNNNNNNNNNNNNNNNNNNNNNNNNNNNNNNNNNNNNNNNNNNNNNNNNNNNNNNNNNNNNNNNNNNNNNNNNNNNNNNNNNNNNNNNNNNNNNNNNNNNNNNNNNNNNNNNNNNNNNNNNNNNNNNNNNNNNNNNNNNNNNNNNNNNNNNNNNNNNNNNNNNNNNNNNNNNNNNNNNNNNNNNNNNNNNNNNNNNNNNNNNNNNNNNNNNNNNNNNNNNNNNNNNNNNNNNNNNNNNNNNNNNNNNNNNNNNNNNNNNNNNNNNNNNNNNNNNNNNNNNNNNNNNNNNNNNNNNNNNNNNNNNNNNNNNNNNNNNNNNNNNNNNNNNNNNNNNNNNNNNNNNNNNNNNNNNNNNNNNNNNNNNNNNNNNNNNNNNNNNNNNNNNNNNNNNNNNNNNNNNNNNNNNNNNNNNNNNNNNNNNNNNNNNNNNNNNNNNNNNNNNNNNNNNNNNNNNNNNNNNNNNNNNNNNNNNNNNNNNNNNNNNNNNNNNNNNNNNNNNNNNNNNNNNNNNNNNNNNNNNNNNNNNNNNNNNGGCUGAGGAAAAAAGAAAAAUACCAGGUAUUCCCUUGUUCCACGAUCAUUUUGACUACUUUCUUUUUUCCAGCCAUGGGGUAAUUCAUCUGCUGAAUCGCAGUCAACUGCAACCUAAAUGUUACUACAAAAAUUAGCAACCCGUAGUGAAUAGAACAGCUAUAGGUCAUAUCUAUCAGAAGCAUCUGAGGUAUUACAGAAGAAACACUCUUUGCAGACAGACAACCACUGCCAGGUUUCUGUCUUUUGGAUUGGGGACUUUGUGCCCCAUUUUCUUUGGAACCCAGAGAUGUUUUCUCAUUUAAAAUGAAGUCCUCUCCAGCACCAUGCUGAAACAAGAACAUUAUUACAUGAGAAUACUAGCAACAUCUCAAGGCUACACCAAUUGAAUUGCUUUCAACAGCAAUUUAGAUAUUACUAGAGAAUCAGCAAAACUCUAGUGAAUUAAAGAAUCAAAUUUUUUCAGAGGUAUCUUAAGUAUAUUACAGAAGGAGAAGUCUUUGUAGUCCUGGUAAUGCCAGAUUUCUUCCUUUUGGUUGUGCAACUCUGUUCCCCAACUUCUUCAAAAUCCUGAGAUGCUUUCAGCUUGGAAAAUGACCCCUCCUCAAUGCCAGGCUGAGAAAAAAGAUAAUAAGACGAGAAUAAGUUGCAGUUCUUAAAUGCUACACCCAGUGAAUUGCUUUCAACUGCCACCUAUAUGUUACUAGAUAAAUCGGCAACCCAUGGUGAACUACACAGCUAACAAUCAAAUCUGUAAGCAGUGUCUCUUUUUGAGAAGGAAAUCUGUAAGCAGUAUCAUAAGUACAUUACAGAACAAAUAGUCUUUACCGAGGCCUGGUCGGUGUCAGAUUUCAGCCUUUUGGAUUUGCGAGUCUGACCCCCACCCCUGAUAUUUUUGGAAUCCUCUGAUGUUUUCUGAUUUGAAGAAGAUACUUCACCAUCUCCAUGCUGACACAAAAACAUAAUUACACAUGAAGAUGCUGUAGGAACCCAACAACAACAACAAAAAUACCCAGGGUAGGUAAGAGGUCUGGGCUCACAAGUCGGAUCUGGUGAGGGUGGUGUGGACGCAGACUUUACCCCUACCUUGUGCGGGUAGAGAGGUUUUUUCGGAUUGACCCUCGACUCAAGUAAAGCAUUUUAAAUUCUCUUCUACAAGGAAUGUGGAAAAUAUGUAAUAACCCAAGGCUACAAAAGCUACCAUCAAAUUUUUUUCUGGAACUUGCCUCCUCCAUCAAACUUUUACCUACUCAAGUACUCUUUCCUAUAAGGAAUGUCCAAAACAUGAGUCAGGCUGCCCAAAGAUAGAUUUUUUUCAUUUCAAACUAGUUACAAAUGCAUGGUGCAACUCUUUUUAGUACUUUUGUCAUUUCCAACGUGCCACUGCCAAAAUAAAUACAAGCAACUUCCCCUUUCUCUUAAAGAUCCUUAGAAACAGAGUAUUCAUUAUUAGAAUUACACAGAUCAAGAUACCAAUAAAGAGAUCAAAUCUCAUCCAAAGUACUUCCGUUUCUUUAUUUUUGCUUUGACUGCACCACCUUUAAUAUGUGGCUCCCUAUGACUUCUCCAAAAAAUUAGGGAAAAUAAUAAACAGAUUUUAUCAUGGUGAGAAAGUUAAAAGGGAGAGAGCCUACUAUCUGUCCUUCUCCCGUGAUGUUGUUCUGCUUCAUAGUUUUGAGAUAUUUAGAAACUUCAGGCUUUGAAUAAAAUUUGCUUCCAGUUGAUGGAUCAAUGUAAACCUGAAAGAACAGCAAAAGAAAUAAGAAUGUAAACUAAAGAUGAGGUAUGAUUGGAGCAUUUUAUCGGCAAAAGUAGCAUCACUCCUGCUCUAAAGGCUAUGCUUCUUCCAGAUAAGUCGCAAACUAGGACAACUGCUGCUUAGUGUUGCAGCAAAAGAACUGUUACACAGAAAAGCGGACUACAGCCAAGCUACCAGAAGCCCCUAAAGAAGUUUCUUAGGAAUACUUGGUUGAAGUUCCUAUGACAAAAAGAACUCAAAAUUUGUAUAAUUGAAGUUAAAUCAUGAAGCUUCUUCAAUUUGAGUUUUCUCUAUAGUAUUUCCCUAAUUAUCAAACCUUGUAAAAAUGCAGCAGAUCACUGAAUCAGGAGUUGGCCGGAUGAUUAAACUGGUCUGAGGUUUUGAUACACAUACAGGACCAAAUUUGAUUUUGCUAAAACACAUUAUACUACUCCCUCUGUCCCAAUUUAUGUGGCACCACUUGACUUGGCACAAAGUUCAAGAAAGAUAUGUAGACUUUUGAAAUUUGUGGUACAAAACAAACCUUAGACAUUUUUUGUGAAAAAAAUAUCACUUGUAUGUCUAUAAAUCAUUGCAUUAAGGGUAAAAGGAAAAUUUUAAAGUAAAGUUACAACUCAUUUCAUCAAGGUUAAGAAGAAAAUUUUAAAGUUAAGUUAUUUCUAAUUAUAGAUAUGUGGUACUAACUUAAAAAAAGGGUGUCACACAAAUUGGGACAAAGGGAGAGCAUUUUUAUGAAGCUCAUAGGGUAUUUUACCCUCUUAUGUGUGGGGGCCAAUGGCCAUUUACCCCGUUGUUAGCAAAUCCUCAUUUUUUUCCCUUGACCCUAACAGAGGAGCUCCAAUCUGAAGUAUAAGGAAGGGUAAUUUUAACCCUAGUCAAAAGAAGAGAGUAAAUUUGACCAUUUUCCAAAAGUAUUUUGGCAUGUGGAAUCCACCCAGCCCAUGCUGGAGUGUCCUUAAAAUCAAGGGCAAAAACAAGACAUGUUGUUAGUGGUAAAGGUAUCAGGUAUGAAUUGCCCCAAAGUAUAACUGAGAGUACAAUAAAGAUAUUUUUUAUGGUAGAGGGGUAAAUUUGGACUUUUUCUCUUCUUUUUUUUAUAUAAGGAAAAUAAUUGUGAAAAAAAUGAGUAAAUGCCAAAUUUACCCCUCUAUUUUGUAUGUAGAGGGGUAAAUUUGGACUUUUUCUCUAUAGUAUAAACCUUAUAUAACUAGUCCGUGCACCACUCAACCCCUAGAAUCUGCAUGCUCAUCAUUACCUCAACUAACAAAUACUAUUGGAAUUUUGUGUUUGAGAUAAACUACCAGAAGGACCAAAACCAGCAUAUGAUCAUUUGUAUGCAACAGUCUUUGUCAUCUACAUAGAAUUUGAGUGAACACGGUUAUCAGUUUUUUUAAGCAUGGAAUCAUGGAAAAAGACAUGCUGAUACAACACCAAAAUUGACACAAUGCUGAUCUAACCGAAGGUCUCACUAAAGUCAAAAUAAGAGACGCACAUUAUAACAAAUCAUCGCCACAAGCAUUUAGAGGUCGGUAUAUUUCCAUUUUCAUACCUUGUAAGGAGUACCAGCAUGUGAGCCAGACUUACGAGUCUUCAAUUCAACUAUCCACCCUGGAGGUAACCAUUCAUGAGAAUUAUUUGGUCUCCCAACAGCCUGACAAUAACAUGAGACAGACCUUAGAAGAUAAGAAUCACAAAGCAAAAAUGUAGAACGUAAGAGUUACUUUACCUUCAAAACUCACCUCACUAACAUUGUUCUCAGAGCAACUCUUAUCUAGAUUAUCCAUUUGACUAACAUUGUCCUUGGAGAAGCUCUCAUCUUGAUUAUCCAUAUGACUAACAUUGUUCUCAGAGCAGUUCUUACCUUGAAUAGUCAUUGCUUGAGUUACAUCAUCGCAAGUAUCUUUUGUGUUCAAGUACCGAGCGACUUCCUUCUUGGAAUAAAACUUUUUCCCAGUCUGCCCAUUUGUAUAGUACUGAAAAGAUAAAUGAAAACAAUAUGUGAUGCAAGCCAUAUAAACAGAAAGACUAUGCGCUUUCUUACAUGGCAUCAUUUAACAGUGGUUGAUUCUCUAUUCCACAGGUGACAACCUUUUAUAGUGCAGAUUCUAAUGUUACAACUCCCCACUAGUGGGAUUCCACUGGGAAUGUUGUUGUUGUAUUCUAAUGUUACAGCAUCACUGCAUACAUCAACAUUAGCCAAGACAAGACGGGAACACAAUUACAUGAAGUAUUCCAAAGAGAAGUUCUUUAUGAAACUCAUCGAGAAAGAGUUCAAGGACUGAGGAAACUUUUAAGGCAAAGUAGGGGUUUUGUACAACUAGAGGUUCUCUAACCCUUGCACUUACUGCUACACCUCUACUCUGACAUAUAACUUCCUAACCAAACUAAAAUAAUUCUGGCCUUAAUACAGACUAGUUGAUAUGCGUAUAUGAAUCCUUUUCUUCCAUGUUUUAGCUAUGUCCACACGGGUUCUGAGACACCAUUGCUGUAUUCACCUCAUAAACUUAGUUUUACAAAAGAACAAAAGAAGUUGAAUCCCACUUCGCCCACCUAAAGCUGCAACACUAAAAGCUAGAAAGCAGAAAAAUGACUUAAAACUCUGUAUUUGCAAUGCAGAGCAGAACAAUACUCAAGUUACACAACUGAUAAACCAUUCAAUAAAAAAGAGUAAUAUCAAGACUCUACAUGCAAGUAGUUUGCCAAGUUGAUCCCACACUAAAACAAUUACAAAGCUGAUAUCCCAAAUGUGAACAACCCCAUCUAAAAGCACCAUAAACCCAUCUGAAUUUAACUACAGAAUUGUCUUAUUAUCAACUUCAAAUCGAAAUUCCUUAACCUUACCUCAAAAAAUGAAUGAACUUUAUAUCGAAUUCGAAGAAAUGACAACGAAAUUGAGCUACAUAGCUGUCCCAGCAUAUCAGCCGAUGCUCAAAAACGAAUAGUAAAAAACAAAAACAACAAUAUCCGAAUUUCCGAUAACCCCGUAAAAAAUUACCGCAAACCCAUUUGGAUUUAUACACAAUAUCCCCAAAAAAACACAAUAACAGCAACAAUAUCCUAAUUUUUUACAUAUACGUGUUCGUAUUUAACCACAAAAUCGACUAAUUACGUACUUAAAAGAUUAAUCAAAGUAGAAGAAAUGAUGAGUAAAUUUUAGCUCAAUAAGUCCAAUUUCUACCUUGAUUUUUCUUCCGUUUGAUACUUUGACAUCCUCUGUCCAUCCCGGAGGAGGCCAAUCCGGCGAAUCUACGACGGCCAUCUCGCCGGAAUCUGACGAUUUCAGGUGAAACGGCACACUUGAACUGACAGAUUUUGUCUUAGUGUGAGAGGGUCAAUAAGCUCCCGUGAAAAGACUUAUAAUAUGGAAAGGUUAUGUUAGGCAAUUACGAGUGGAAAAACACGUGGCAAAAAUAUAUUCUUUAAAUUUACUAUAAAUAAAUAAAUUAUUUUAUAUAAAUCUAAAAAAAUAAAAAAAUCAUCAACACAAAUUUUAUUUUUAUUUUUGUGUCUAGUAUUGAUAUUAAUGGAAAUUUAAAACUAUUUAGAUAUACAUAUGCACAUAGUGUAAAUAGGGAAAUUUUCAUUUCAUAUCAAUAACCAUACUAAAUUUUCUUACCAAUCUUUAAAUUAUGUUUUGUCACAAAUAAUUUGUCUAAUUUUGUGUGGCAUGUUUGUUAAAUAAGAAAAGAAAGAUGAAAAAGAUCAUGUUUUGAUAAUACUUCAAAAAUGAGAAAAGUUUUACUCCCAUUUGAAAAUAAUGUUAUGAUUCGAAGAAUUAAGUUUUAUUUCCUUGUUAGUUUAUAAUUUGUAAUUUUUUAAAAAAUAAUUGACUUUUUUAUGAUUUUCAAAUACAUAUUGGUUCUCUUUUUUUUUUUAAAACAAUGCUCGAAGUCAUAAUUUCAUGAACUAAGACUCAAAACUCCAAUCACUAUAGUUAAUGCAGUAUAUAUUUAGUUCACGAUAUUUUUAAAAUGUUUGUAUUAAAUUAUGCAUCAAUUUAUAUAUUAUUUUAUAUAUAAUAGAAUGUACAAUGAAUACUAUAUAAUAUUAAUAAUGUGAAAAUCAAGCUAUUUAAAUACGAAAUUCUCAUUUAAAGUAUCACCAACCAACUUUGUUAAUUAAAACAAAAAAAUCACCAACUUUCUAUAAAUACGAUGAUCCCAAAGUUAAACAUCGAAGAUUCACAUUCAAUUUAUCUAUUUCCCUCUUUGAAAUUAAACCAUAUGAAGAAUAACCAUUGAAAUGAUAACACUUCUUUAUUUUGUAGAAUGUUACUACAUGUAACAUAUUGUUAUGUAUCUAAAGAGAAGUACGUCUUCGUCUAACUACAAAGGGAAUGAACCAUUAAUAAUUGCACAAAUUAAUCAGAGAGGGAAGCACCAUUAAUAUCGACCACGGAGGGGAAGAAUCAUUUCUCAAAUAACUACACAAGGGGUGAGUAUAGUAAAUCAUAAAGAUAAUAAAAAAAAAAAUAGAGAUUCAAUUAUCUCAGUGAAGAUAGAAUUAUUCACACGGAAUUCUUCCUAUAGUGGGGUGCCAGCAGCUCACAAAGGUAUUUCUCGUCACAAGUAUUCAGCUUGGAACUUGUUAAGUACAAUUGUAUAUAUAUAUUCUCUUAUGUUGCAUUUCUCUUUUUUGCUCGUCUUUGAGAGGACAUAUAUAGGCUAUAGUUGAUAAUCUUCUAAGCCUUCACUCUCAUGUUGAUCUUGAGUAAGUUAUUUUAUGUAUAAUGGCUAUUAUGACAUACUUAAAAGUUGUAUUGUUUGAAUAGUCAAAUUCAAUAAAAAAAAAAUAUUGUUGCAUUCGUAUUGAAUUCUUUAAAAAUAUAAUACUUUUGGAGGAUUCGACAUGUACUUGUCUAACAUUUUUUGAAAAAUUUCAACAACAUAAUCUAAAAGUUGUGAUAAAAUUAAAAUUGAAAAAUGGACAAUCAAAUGAGUCAAAUGUACAUUGUUAUUUUCAAAUUUGAGAGUAACACAAUUUUUUUUUUAUCGAUCCUUAAUUUUGUGGUAAAACAACUUCACCUCACUAUCCUUUUGGGACUGAGGUGGUUAUAUUGUUGUCGUGAAAAAAAAAGAAGUGAAAGUUACAGAUUUACAGGAAUUCAAUACUUUUGUCCAAAAUUUGUAUAGGUAUUAAAAUAUUUUUUUACCAAGAUAAAGAAAAGAAGGAGCAAAAUAUUAGAGCUCAUGUACACAUUAUUAUCUCAUCUUAUAGAGAUGAUGUACGUGACGACCCAAUCGUUCACAAUUUGUGCAAGUAAAUUUCAUUGCUCUUGUGCACCAGCCGGGAAUCGAACCUGGGUCUGUAUUGUGUGGCAAGGACUAUUCUACCACUAGACCACUGGUGCUACUUGUUUAUACUUUCUCAUUAUAUUUAUAUUGUACUGUAUUGAAUUUAUCUUUUUUCGACAAUCAACUUGCUUACAACAACAAUAUUUAUAUAUUGAGUGAAAUCUCACAAAGUGAGAUCUAUACUACUUGUAUUAAUUAAUAAACUUGUUUGCAUCUUUCAAUUGUAUCAUAUUCAUUCUUUAAUUUAUACAUAUGUUUAUCAUGACUUACUAAAGUUAUUAUACAUGAUAUAUAUUCACAAUUCAAAUUUUGGAUAUUAAAAUUAAAUUAUUUGAUUUGAUAUCAACAGAACCCGAUACGAGAAAAGUCAAAUCUAAUCUCUAUUUCCAUUUUUUUUUAGCAACUUGAACCUUUUUCUUUGAUUUCUCAUCCAGUAUUUGGUACCUACAUUGGAGUUCGACUAAAUUUGAAUUCGCAUUGAAAAGUUCAAUAUUUAAGGGUAAAAUGCUACCUAAGGGCAUCUCCUCCAAACACCAAAUUUGGUGUCAGAACUAUUUUUUGUGUAAUCAACUCCAACCCACUGCACCAAAUUUUACACCAAAAGGAAUAUUUUUCUCUCUCUUCAUUAUUAUAUUAUUAUUUCUUAUUUCAUAAAACAAAUUCUUUCUAAAACAUUCACCAUAUAUAAUUCAUAUUAUUUCCUUUUAUAAUCGUUUAAUAUAAAAUUAUGUUGUACCAUAAUUUUUAAAUAAUAUAUCCAAUUAUAAUUUAUAGUAGAACUAACAUAAAUUUAAUUUUUUUUAAAAGUCAUAUAUGGAAAAAAUGAAUUAUAAAAAAGCUAAAUUUUAUAUCUAAAAUUAAUAUUAUAAAAAUAUUACAUAAAAUAAUUAAAUAUACAAGAGAUUUAAUUAAAACAUACAAUUUAUAGUUUAAUUAAAAGUUUGUAUAAUAAAAUAAUAUUAAAAUAUUCAAAAAGUGAAUUGGUGUGAUGAAUAGUGUGAGUUAGAGCUCAAAACACCAAAUUUAAAAUUUGAUGUUGAAUCGAAGAUGAUCUAACAAAGGUGACUACUUUAUACCAAGGAUACUCGAACAGAAGACCUCUCGAAACUUAAGAGGUAUCUCCAACUUCCAUUUUAUCCAAUCAGCAAACAUGACUUUUAGUAGCUUAGGUCUAUCUUUGAAGAAGUGUGUAUUGUGAAUAAAGUCAACAAUAAUAUUUGAACUUUAAAUUACGAGUGGAGAAACACGUGGCAAAAAUAUAUUCUUUAAAUUUACUAAAAAAAAAUAUAUAUAUAUAUAUUUAUUUUUAAAAUCAUCAAUACAAAUUUUAAUUUUAAAUUUUGUGUCUAAUAUUGAUAUUAAUGGAAAUUUAAAAUUAUUUAGAUAUACAUUUGCGCACAGUCUAAAUAGGGAAAUUUUCAUUUCAUAUCAAUAACCAUAGACUGUCCAUAGUUGUUGCAAAUUAAAUUUGGUUGACUGUAUUUUCUUACCAACUUUGAAAUUAUGAUUUGUCACAUAUAGUUUGUCUAAUUUUUUGUGGUGUGUUUGUUAAACAAGAAAAAAAAUAUAUGUUUAGAUAAUACUUCAAAUAAGAAAAGUCUUUACUCCCAUUUGAAAAUAUUGUUAUUAUUCAAAGAAUUAAACUUUAUUUCCUUGGAAGGUAGUUUGUAAAUAAUUAAAUUAAUUUACUUUUUUUUUAUGAUUUUUCAAAUACAUAUUGGUUCUCAAUUUUUUUUAAAACGAUGCUCGAAGUCAUAAUUUCAUGAAUUAAGAAUCAAACUCCAAUCAUUAUAGUUGUGCAUAAGAUAAUGCAUCAUUUAAUGGCCAUAGAAGGAAAAAAAUAAUGGUCAUAUAAUUAAUGCAGUAUUUGGUGUGCGAUAUUUUAAAAUAUUUGUAUUAAGUUAUACGUCAAUUUAUAUAUUAUGGUAUGCAUAAUAGACGGUACAAUGAAUACUAUAUAGUAUUAACAAUAUGUGAAUCAAGUUAUUUAUAUACAACAUUUCCAUUUAAAGUAUUAUCCAUCAACUUUGUUAUUUAAAAUUGAAAAAAUCCACCAACAUUCUAUAAAUAAGAUGAUCCCAAAGUUAAAUAUCGAAGAUUCACAUUCAAUUUAUCAAUUUCCCUCUUUGAAAUUAAACCAUAUAUCAAGAAUAACCAUGGCUUCUUGCCAAAAAAAAUAAAUAGAAAUGACAAUUUUUUAAUUUUUUUUAUAGAAUGUUACUACAUAUAACAUAUUGUUAUGUAUCCAAAGAAAAGUACGUCUUCGUCUAACUACAAAGGGAAUGAACCAUUAAUAAUUGCACAAAUUAAUCAGAGAGGGAAGCACAAUUAAUAUCGACCACGGAGGGGGAAAACUAUUUCUCAAAUAAUUGCACAAGGGAUGAGUAUCGCAAAUCAUAAAGGUUAUAAAAAAUCGUAAUAGAGAUUCAAUUAUCUUAGUGAAGAUUGAAUUAUUCGCGCAAAAUUCUUCCUACGAUGAAGGUGCUAACAACUCACAAAGGUGUCUCGCUCGUAACAAGUAGUCAAUUUGAAACUUGUUAAGUACUAUUAUAUAUAUUUUCUCUUAUGUUGCAUUUCCUCUUUUUUAUUCAUCUUUGAGAGGACAUAUAUAGGCUACAACUGAUAAUCUUCUAAGUCUUCAUUCUCAUGUUGAUCUUGAGUAAGUUAUUUUAUCUAUAAUAGUUAUUAUGAUGAACUUAAAAGUUGUAUUGCUUGAAUAAUCAAAUUCAACAAAAAAUUAUUAUUACAUUCGUGUUGAGUUCUUUAAAAAUAUAAUACUUUUGAAGGAUUCGAUAUGUAUUUGUCUGACAUUUUUUGAAAAGUUUGAACAACAUAAUCUAAAAAAUUGUGAUAAAAACUGAAAAAUGGACAAUCAGAUGAUUCAAAUGUACAUUGUUAUUUUCAAAUUUGAGAAUAACACAAUAUAUUUUUUUAUCGAUCCUUACUUUUUUGGUAAAACAACUAAUCAGAGGCGUAUCCAGGAUUUCGACUAGAUGGGUGCACGAUUACGAAAAAAUGUAUCUUAAAUAUAAAUUUGAUCGAUUUGACUUUUAGUUUGUAAUAUGAACCAUUAAAGUUUAAAAAUUAUAGGUCCAAAAUAUAUAAUACUACUAGUUUUAAAUUUUAAUAUACACAUUUGAUUUAAUUAUAUUAAAAAUUUACAAUGCUAAAUUUUUUAGGAAUUCUCAAUGUAACAACUUGAAAAUUUUGAAAGAAAAAAACAAAAGAAAAAUUAGUUGAAACGACAAAAGUGUAAUUGAUAACCACUUGAAAAAGUGUUACUCAAAGAAACAAGAUAAAUAUAAGAUUUAAAUUUCUAUCUCUCACUUAGAAAAGUGCACCCAAUCAUCAUCGCAUUAUUAUAUGAUACUUUGAACAUGAGUUCACACAUCUAUAUUUAAAUAUUUUUUAAAAUAUAUAACACUACUAUAUAUGAUCUAGAGAGGGGAGCAUGGGUUCACGUGAACCCACGGCACCCCCUCUAGAUACAUUUCUCUGAACAACUUCAUCUCACUAUUCUUUUGGAACUGAGGUGGUUAUUAUUGUUGUCGUGAAAAAAGAAGAAGUGAAAGUUACAGAUUUAUCAGAAUUCAAUACUUUGGUCCAAAAUUUGUAUAGGUAUUAAUAAAAAAUUCACCAAGAUAAAAAGGAGCAAAAAAUUAGAGCUCAGAUACACAUUAUCUCAUCUUAUAUCAGAUUUAUGUGACGACCCAAUCGUUCACAAUUUGUGCAAGGAAACGUCAUUGCUCUUGUGCACCAGCCGGGAAUCGAACCCGGGUCUGUACCGUGGCAGGGUACUAUUCUACCACUAGACUACUGGUGCUACUUGUUUAUUCUUUUUCAGAGAAAAGACAUAAAGUAACUAUUAAAGUUGUCUCGAAUUUUCAAAAAAACACUUUAAAUUUGCGAGUGUCCUAUUACCCAAUUGAACAACUUCAAAAUAGCAUGUAUACCCCAUUUUUCACCCAAUACCACUUAUACAAAAAUAUUUGUAAGUCACGCAUUAAUAGCCACUUGACACGUGUUAAAAGUAAUUUUUAAUUAUUUUUAUUUGAUUUCUUUGCUUUUUUUUUUUUCUUUUUCUCUUUCUUCUUCGCCUCAACUUGUGUUCUUCAAGUAGCCAUUCCUUCAUCAUUGCUGCAACAAUCAUCAAUCCCGCUGUGGCGGGACUGAUUUCACAGUAAUACUACCAAUUAUUUGUUAAACUACCACCAAUUUAAUUUAUUUAUGAAAAUAAACACCGCCAAAUAAUCAAAAUCCAAAUACUCAAAAUAUCACCAAGUCAAAAACUGAAAUUUAAAUCACCACCUUCUCCAACUCCUUACUCUCAAAUAAAGUUUUCCAUAGUUUCAUUGCUCCAAAAUCCCAAUCUUGAUUUUUAAGAGGAAAAAAUUACUAAACUGAUUUGUUAUUAAAAAAUAAAAAUAAAAAUAAGAAUGAACACAACAACAUUAGUUUUUUUUUUUAAAAAAAACAAUGACCAUAAAAUGUAAAAGAAAAAAGAAAAAAAGGAAAAAAAAAUGAAGAAAGACAUGGAUGCCCCCAAGAAAUAUGGAUAAGCUAGUGAUGAUAGGGAAGAUGAGAAAAAAGAUUUGAAAAAAUAAAAAUUAUUCCUAAUAAAGGUAAAAAAAUUAAUACAUGAAUUUUUAUGGGGGGUUUUCAAAAUAAGUCAAAUUGAGAGUGCCACAUGGCAAUUUUACGUUGGUCUGAAGCUGUAUCAAGAGCCCUUCACGCGCCCAUAUUUCGUGACAAUAUGAGUAGUGUUAAAAUUAAUCAAAAUGGUAUAUCUAUUGAGGAUUUAGAUGGUUUCGUGGGGUAAUAGGACACCCACAAAGUUAAGGUGUCUUUUUGAAAAUUCAGAGCAACUUCAGUGGUGACUUUAUGUCUUUUCUUAAUAAAGGUAAAAAAAUUAAUACAUGAAUUUUUAUGGGGGGUUUUCAAAAUAAGUCAAAUUGAGAGUGCCACAUGGCAAUUUUACGUUGGUCUGAAGCUGUAUCAAGAGCCCUUCACGCGCCCAUAUUUCGUGACAAUAUGAGUAGUGUUAAAAUUAAUCAAAAUGGUAUAUCUAUUGAGGAUUUAGAUGGUUUCGUGGGGUAAUAGGACACCCACAAAGUUAAGGUGUCUUUUUGAAAAUUCGGGACAACUUCAAUGGUGACUUUAUGUCUUUUCUCUUCUUUUUCAUUAUAUUUAUAUUGUAUUGUAUUUAUCUUUUUUCGACAAUCAAUUUACUUAUAAAAACAAUAUAUUAAGUGAAAUUCCACAAAGUGAGAUCUAUACUACUUGUAUUAAUUAAACUUGUUUGCAUCUUUCAAUUGUGUCAUAUUCAGUGUUUGUACUAAAAUGAAUGCAAGAUAUGUCUUUCAUACAUAUGUCUAUCAUGACUUACUAAAGUUAUUAUAUAUGAUAUAUAUAUUCUUAAUUCAACUUUUGAAUAUUAAAAUUAAAUUAUUGGAUUUGAUAUAAACAGAUCCGAUACGAGAAAAGUCAAAUAUAAUCUUCAUGCUUCCAUUUUUUUUAGCAACUUGAAUUAUUUUCUUUGAUUUUUCAUUCAAUAUUCGAUAUCUACAUUGAAAUCCAACUAAAUUUAAAUUUGCAUAAGAAAGUCCAAUAUUUAAGGGUAAAAUGUUAUCUCACAAAGGUGACUACUUCAUACUAAGGAUACUCGAACACAAGACCUCUCGAACCUUAAAGAGGUGUCUCCAACUUCCAUUUUAUCUAAUCAGCAAACAUGACUUUUAGUAGCUUACGUGUUAGGUCUAUCUUUGAAGAAGUGUAUUGUGAAUAAAGUCAACAAUAAUAUUUGAACUUUAAUUAAUUAUAGUAUACUUUAAACUUCAGUUUCUUGCUUAGCUUGAACAUCUUGUGGGGAAGCAAAAUGAGAUACUAUAGUCUCAUAUUCUACAAUUCUUCCUUGCCAAAUUAUAUCAUGACUAAAGGUGUGCCUUUGGUAGAAAGUAAAUGUUUUUUUCACAAAAAAACAUAUUUUUUAAAAAUAAGUUAGUUUUUUAUAAUUAUUUAUUUGCUAGUAUUUGAUAAGUAAGUGAUUUUUUUAAUUUAUUUUAAGAGCAUUUAUAACUUAGAAUGAGAGUUUGAGGGGAUGGGAUGGUCGUCAAGGGUUACGUUGAGGGUGGGAAGCAUUGGAUAUGUGGAAAUGAGACGAUGAAUUUGAAAUCUCACUUAUGAAACUUGGUUAGUUGGUUUCUUUAAUUACUUAUGUCAGUUUUCUCGCUUUCAAGAAACUUGUUUUUCUUUAAUAUUUUGACCAACAGAAUAUAGAAAAAAAUUAAAAAAACAUUUUUUUAAAAAUAUUUUCUAGAACACACACCCUAAGGCUCAAUAGGAAUAAUAACUUGUUAUAACCGAUUAGUUUAAUUUGAUAGGGUCGAAGAAGUCCUUUUGUAGACGCAUGCAUGAUGAUCAUAUGGUAUUAUUAAUUUGUGUGUUUCUCAUGGAAGACUAAAUACUCAUUGAAGUCACUUAUUGUUGCUUCAAAAUACAUAUUAAACUACGUACUAAUCACUUCACAUCACAAUUAAUUAAUUGUCAUAUUAUUGAAGUCGACACCAAAUACUUCCAAAAAGAGUUGUUUUUUACUAUGCCCAAAUGAAUAAUAUAUAUAUAGCCUAUAGGGAGGGGGAUUAACAACUCAUGUAACCAUGCACUAAUAAUGUUCUUUUUUUUCUUUAAUAAUAGUAAUAUCCGAAUUAAUUUAUGUACAACUCAACUAUUAUAUUAAUAUCUAUAAAUUUUCACUACUAUAGAUCUAAAUAACCUUGUCAUAUGUAAUCAGAGUCACUUUCAAAAUACAUUUUAAUAUUAUAAAUUUUUUACCGUCCAAAGGAAUUACAUAUAAGAAAAAACAAAUUAUAUAUAUAUACAACCCUUUUACAAUUUUAUAAUGGUCGUAUUCAGUCAAUUUAUAUGCCCUCAGCUAUUUUGUCUAUACAUCUUUUUUUCUCUCUUUAAAUCCAAACUCAACUUUUCAUGAUUUUACUUAUUUUAUUGAUUGCUAAAACAUGGAUUGAUAUGGUCCUUUUACGCUUAGGACAUCAAAAUAUUAAAUCACGCGAUACUUAUUUACGAUCUUUUACGCUGAGGUUUUUUUUUCCUUCUCUUCUUUAUAUAAUAUAUAUAAUUUAAUAUAAUGUGGAUUAUAUUACUUUAUAAAUUAUAAGUACUCUUUAGUCUUUAUAUCCAUGAGAAGAUUAGCUGGUUUUGCCCACCAUUAUAAAUGGUUUGUACUACUUUAACAUUAUUAAAUUAAGCACUAUGCUUUGAAUAGAGACUAAUAAACAAUAAUUUGCUACUUAAUUUGUCCACGGCCUACCUACUUAAUUGUCUAUGAGUUGACUUUUUUUUACAUCACUUGCAAUUUUCGUACUAAAAAAAAUUAUUUCACAUUUUUUUAAUCUUCUUUUUUUACUAAACACUUAUUAAGUCGGUGGCUGAUCUAAGUAUUGAUUGGUUGGUAGUUCUAUUCAAAAACUGGUUUAAUUUUUGGUAUGUUUUCACACUUUUAUCUCACUAUACUUUGUUUGCAUAAUUUAAAUGUUGAAAUUUAAUGAGCAAUGAGGUAGCUCUUCAACUAUUACUAUUUGUAGGACGGUCGGUGUGCUAAGUUCUCGCUAUGUACGAUAUUUGUGAAGCCAGAGCAUAAGAGUUUAUUGUAAACAAUCUUAUCGUCUACAUAUUUGUAAGAGGUUGUUUUCAAAGCUCAAAUGUGGGACCUUCUGAUUACAUGACAAUAACUUUACCAGUUACAUCAGUUUUUACGUUUUGUAUGCAAUUAAAAACUUAAAAAACAAGAGAAAGAAGAUGGAGAAGAAAAUGUAAUUCAAUCAAUUUGAAGUACUAUAUCAUGACUUUCCUAGUAUACAUCUUUGAUUUCCAUGUACAAUACAAUGAUUAUGAAGAAAAAAAUGUAUAACAUCAAACUUAGCUACAAAAAGAACUUAGGAAUUUGGUGAAACAUGAAUAGGUCAACACCAAUUGAUCACAAAAGGCCACCUAAGAGUUUGACCUAACCAUCAAUAAAGUCGAUGAACACCUUAAAAGAUCAGCGCUCAAAUUCCAAUAGAGACAAAAAAAGUUUAAUAAUUUCCUUCUUACAUGCUAAAUCUUGAUGAACAGAGCUAUCAGUACAGGAAGUGAACGUAAGCUGACCAGAACAUGAUGAUUAAUUGUGAAGUGGAUUUGGUCCUCCGGGAACGGUUCGAUGAGAUACUCUAUAACUCUUGUCUAUAUCUUCAUUUCUUGAUUUUUUUGGAGAUGGUGCAGAGUUAUGCCAUGAAAUUGUUGAAUUCAAUCUUUGCUCUAUGCUUGUUGGAGUAAUUUCUUGAAUUUUUCUACAACUUGAUAAUUGACUAACGAAGAGUAUAAUUACCAAUAUUAGCAGAAAUUGAAAAGAAGGAUAUUGAAUUUUCAUGAUGAUUAUAUGAUGAAGAAAUAUUAGGGAAUAUAUGGACAGAGAGGGAAAUAAGUAGGUUGAUCUAAUUUUGAGUUUUUUUAGAACUUUUGUUGAAUGGUGACAAGUCUUUAUAUUAAUAUGUGUUUUAAUUUAAAGAACUUGUGGUGCAGAUAAGAACCAGAAAAAACUAAUAUUGUCUUGUAUAAAAUGACAUAGAUACCCUCAUAAUAUUUCCAACUUUUCAAUUCUCAAAUAGUUUAUGAGAAGUUUUUUUGUUUUGUUUCGUUUAAGCAUUUGAUAUUCAAAGUCAACUGACUCGAUUAUGAGAAAAACUUAAAGAACUCUACCUUUGUGAAAGGUAUAGUCGAUUAAGGGACCGAUAAUAAAAAAUAAUGUGCUUUGAUUGAUAUCAUAUUAAUAAAAAAUGUAAAAUUUUGACGAAAAUUUGUGAUGGAUUUCAUUGAAUAUUAAAUUAUCAAGAACAUUUUCGACAAUUAUUUUCAUCAAAUAUCUCAUAUUUCUGACAAAAUCGUCCAUCAAAAAUUUAUAUUUAUUUUAUUUAAUACUAAAAGAAGGUUUGAAAGGGCAAAAUAGUCAUUAAAUGAAUAUAGAUUUUAGCAGAGUGAAAUGUGAAUAAAGAUGUUGCUUAGAGGUUAUGAAGAGCUGACAAAAAUUUGGUGGGUUGUGUAGGCAUUUAUUUACCCAUUCAUUAAUUUUGGUGAGUAGUAUCUUUUAUUUAAAUAAAAAUAAUUAAACAGUGUUAAUAUUAAUUGGUUGGUUGGACUUUAAUGAAAGUUUUUUCAGGAGCCCAUCCUUAUAGGCAUGUGGUGCAAGUGCAAACCCAGCAAUUGUCUCAUGUUCAUGCAGUCCUAGAUUUCUGUCGUUCACUUUUAAUUGUUCAUUUAUAUUUAUUAAAAAUUAAUUUAAUAUUAAGAAAACAAAUAUAAAAACAAGUAAAAGUAUUAUCUUUUUAGUAUCCUAAAUACAACAGGAAUGAUUAAACUAAUUAUUUGAUUAAUCGGAUCAUUACGAUUUCAAAUUCAAAAUGAUUAAACUGAAUGUUUUUUCUCAUAAUUUUCAAAACAUUUAAGUAUAAAAAAUUAAUUCAAGAGGACUUUUGUUUCUAACAUGACGUAGGCCAUUGGUUUUGGGUCCUCUGGGUCCUUGUCCAUAAUCAACUUAUUAAAUGAUAUGGUUUCUAGAGGGUACAUAAAUUCAUUGAAAUAUAAUAAACUUUUAAUUAUUCCACAAAAUUAAGGUAAAGAAAAUCUCCUGCAAACUGCAAAGUUCCCAUGAAACUUAAAUUCAUUGAAAUAAUAAACUUCCAAUAAUUCAGAAGUCUUGAUGGUAGAGAUUUUCUUGAUUUUUUUUUAUGGUGCGAGUUACGACUUUAAGAAUUGUCUAUUUUCUUUUUAUUCAUCGGAUUUUGACACGCUCAUACCUACAACGACUAGACGAUUACUCCCUACACACCAUUAAACAUCACUAUUUAACACUUGGGUUCGUCCUAUACAAGAACUACAACCCAAUUAAUGUCAAGAAAAUAUCCUACAAUGUUCCCUUGAAACUUCAAGUGUGGAGAUUUUAAAAAAGAAAGUAUGGAAAUUAAUACAAAAUAAUUUGAAUAUAUUCGAUCCUUCUGCUCAUUUUUACUUGUCCACUAUUUCAAUUUUUUUUUUCAUUUUUACUUAUGGUCAUUUUUAACAUAUUCAAAGAAAAGACAAUUGUUUUUCUAUAUUGUUUACCCUUAACAUCAAUAUUAUACAUCAAUCAAUAGAAACAGUAUGAUAGUAAAAUAAUCAUGUCAUUAUUUUCUUAAUAUAUAUGCCAAAUACAAAUAUGACAAGUAAAAGUAAACAAACAGACCAGCAUUUUUAAUUCAUAUUGUCAACAUUAAACACUGAAAAUUACAUCAAUGUUUAUCACCAGGUCCUCCAUAAACAAUCAAAUGACCAAGUACAUCUCCUUGAUCUAUAAAAUCUUGAACUUUAUAUAAAUUUGUGCUACUCUCAAAUUGAUUUGUGCCAAUAUGAUCUAAAGAGUAUGUUACAACUUUAUCAUCCACAACAUACAUAAAAGUGCACUUUCUAAAAUAUGCAUUUUCUAGUAAAUUUUUAUUUGGAAAAAGUCCACUACCCAUUGGAGGGAAAGGUAAUCCUUGUGGACUAUAUGUUAUACCUCCAUAUUGAGCACUUAAUGCAUGAGCUUGUAAUGUUGUAAAAAUACUUUUAGGCCAAAAUCCCACUUGUUUGUAGUCCUCUCCUAGCAUAACCCACCAAUUUCCACUUGUUGUAUCCUAUAGUCAAUAUUGAUAACAAAUAAAUAUAGUAAGAUAAUGAUAAAAUUUCGUAAAUAACGUUAUCAAUGUCAAGUUUUGCAGAAAAUAGUGAGAUUUUGCUAUAUUUUGAAACGUAGAAGCAUUUUGAUUAUUUCAAAAUGUAGCAGAACACAUAAACACGCACACAGACCAAUAGUGUAAAUCGAUAUCAUAAAAUACAUUUAUAUAUUGACAACAAAUAAAUGUAGUAAGAUAAUGAGAAAAUUUCGUAAAUAACAUUAUUAGCGUCAAUUUUUGUAAAAAAAAUAGUGAAAUUUUGCUAUAUUUUGAAACGUAGAAGCACUUUGAUUUCAAAAUGUAGCAGAACACAUAAACCUGUACACACAAACCAAUAGUGCAAAUUGAUCAUAAAAUACAUUUAUUGACAACAAAUAAAUGUAGUAAGAUAAUGAGAAAAUUUCGUAAAUAGCAUUACUAACGUCAAAUUUUGCAAAAAUCAUGAGAUUUUGCUAUAUUUUGAAAUGUAGAAACACUUUGAUUUCAAAAUGUAGCAGAACACAUAAACCCGCACACAAAUCAAUAGUGCAAAUCAUUCAUAAAAUACAUUUAUUGACAAAAAAUAUAUAUAGUAAGAUAAUGAGAAAAUUUUGUAAAUAGCGUUAUCAGUGUCAAUUUUUUUUAAAAAAAUAGCAAAAUUUUGCUAUACUUUGAAACAUCGAAGCACUUUGAUUUCAAAACGUAGCAGAACACAUAAAUAUGAAUUACCUGUUCAAGAUACAUUAGUUGUGAACUCACAGGUCCACCAAUUCUUGAAGGUACAAGUGGCAUUCCUAAAGGUAUAUCUGUGUCUACUAGGACAAAGCCAGAACAUAAUGUAUUAAAACAACCUGCGCUUCCAGCCUAUAAUAAUACAUAACCAAAACAAAAAGAAAAAAACAUUUAAUUAUAAUUAGUAAACAUUAAAUUUUGAUCAUAGAAAUUAAAUUUUGUUCAUAAUUACCUCAAAUUUUGCAUAAAGUCUUGGCUUAUUGUCACCAUUUAGAGUAGGAUGCACCUUCAUUAAGUUUGAAAAAUAAUAUAAAUUAGUAGUAUAUAUAUUAAUUAACUUAUAAAUAAAACGGAGAAUAUUGUCCUAUAAAUGAACCAAAUUUCGAUAGAAAGUCCAACAAAAAUUAGUGAUUUUUUCGAUAUUAUACAAAUUUCUAGUACACCAUCAGGUUUAUCAGAUGAGUUGUAACAACAUAUAAUCGUCGAUGAUAUAUCUAUUCUUUUCAAAUAUUGUCAGUGUAUAAAAUUUAAAUGCGUUUUCUAAUAAGAAGUAGAAGUGAGCUUACAAUCCAGCCAACUUCAAUGGCAUCACUUAGUCCAGCUUCAAGCCUAACACGAGCUCCACUAAACUGAUCUUUUUGAACAUUAAUUGGUGCAUGUAUAGUAGUAAUCAUGCCACCUCCAAGUAUUAUAUUUCUAUCAGAACUUGGAAUUUGUGUUUCUGCAUACUAAAAUCAAUAAAAAAUAAUAAUCCCAAAAUAAGACAAUUUAUAUGCAAAUGAUUCAAAGUGGACACUUGACGAUUUUUAUUCAGUGCAUAUCUGAACUUUACUUUGAUCUAAUUACCCUAAUUGAACUUGACGAGGUUAUCAAAUUUCCAUGUUCGGGGUAAAUUAUGCGAACAUAAAGUUUAGGUGUGCACUGAAUAAACAAAAAAAAAGGGGAGGGGGGGGGGGGGGAAAAAAAAAAAGGGGAAANNNNNNNNNNNNNNNNNNNNNNNNNNNNNNNNNNNNNNNNNNNNNNNNNNNNNNNNNNNNNNNNNNNNNNNNNNNNNNNNNNNNNNNNNNNNNNNNNNNNNNNNNNNNNNNNNNNNNNNNNNNNNNNNNNNNNNNNNNNNNNNNNNNNNNNNNNNNNNNNNNNNNNNNNNNNNNNNNNNNNNNNNNNNNNNNNNNNNNNNNNNNNNNNNNNNNNNNNNNNNNNNNNNNNNNNNNNNNNNNNNNNNNNNNNNNNNNNNNNNNNNNNNNNNNNNNNNNNNNNNNNNNNNNNNNNNNNNNNNNNNNNNNNNNNNNNNNNNNNNNNNNNNNNNNNNNNNNNNNNNNNNNNNNNNNNNNNNNNNNNNNNNNNNNNNNNNNNNNNNNNNNNNNNNNNNNNNNNNNNNNNNNNNNNNNNNNNNNNNNNUCAAUACACACCUGGUAAGGAUUUACAUCAUCUAGGGAAAUUGAUGCCUUAGAAUUGGUUAUGUUGUUUCCCUGCAUGAAGUACAAGUACACAUUAUUAUGUUAGAGAUUCAAAACUAGAAAAAAAUUGAAGGGGGAGGUAUUAUAUUAAAAAUAAAUCAUUUUUUAUGUAUUGACGAUGUAAAAAUGUUACAUAUUUGUAUGAUUAAUUUCGAUAAAAAUUCCCCAUAACGUCAUAAAAAUAAUCAUGUAAAUAGUAUUCGAUUAGAAGAAAUUACUCUCUCUUUGUAUUUCUUUGUCCUUUCGACUUACAUGACCAUUACGAUGACUUUUGUCCAUGCCUUGCAUAUGUUGGUGUCGAAUGAGAUCCUCUUUCGUAACUCUUUUAAUAGGAACAGUUCCACUAGGACAUCCAUCGCCUUCCAACCCAAUCUUUGAAGGUCUUUCAAAGAUCGAAGCCUUUGCAUCUAUUCUUGAUUUGGAUAAAGUAGGUUUCAUCUGCAUCAAAUUAAAAUACACAUAUUUUUGUCAUAAAAAUUACUAAAAUUGAAUAUAGAAGUAUAUACUACAAACAUACCUCUGGAUGAAAAUCAUGAUUCUGUAAUAGUGGAUGAUCAAAAGCAGGUUGCUUAUAAAAAUCUACGCAAUCGUAUACAUCUCCAUCAUUGGUCUACAAUCAACCAAAAAAAUUGAAUUUAUUUUUUUCCUUUUUUUAAAAAACAAUAAUAAUUUUGAUAUGCUUCAAAUAUUAUGAUAUAUAUCACCUUUAUAGUCUUGAUAGCUGGCUUAUUUAUAAGCUUUAAUUGCCUCUCCAAUUCUAAAUCUUCAACCUCAGAUAGGCUUUGUCUUGCUUCAAUUUUAGCAUAGCUCAACAACAGUGAAAUUGCAACAACAAUUUGUAAUAUCUACAUUUUGAGAAAUAAUUUAGCAACAUUAUGUUUAUUUUUUUUUGCCUUAUGUUAAAUUUUUGGUCUAAUUUAUUUAUAAUAUAAAUUCUCUGUCGUUAGGAAAAAGUCUUGUUUGCCCUUAACCCCCUAACGGAGUUUCAACUCAAGGAUAAUUUUAUACUAUAGUCAAAAGGUAAAGGGUAAAUUUGUAUUUUAUUUCUCGAAAAAAAUGGGCACAUGUAGACCCAUUUCAUGGUGAAGCAGUCCUCAAUAUAAUGGCAAAGGUUAAACACGAAACGAUUUGCUAUUAUCAAAAAUAUGAAUAAACCAUAAGUAUAACGUAUGAUAAUAUUGAACGAUUUUAGAUUUCAAAAAGCUUAAGAAAAUGAAUUUAUGAAAAGUUACCUGAUUUGACAUGAUGGUGUUGAAAUUUGACGCAAAAUGAAAAUACAUGUGAAAUACAACAUAUAUAUAUAUUUAUUGUACUAGUAGAAGAUGAGAGAGUAUUUAUUUGAAUAGUGUAAAAGUCAAAGUCAAAUGUUACAAUUAAUUUUCUAUAUUAUUAUUUUGGAUUUCUUAUAAAGGAGAUUUUUCUUGAAGGAUUCCAUUAAUUGUGAGAAUAUGAUGCUACUCCUUCCGGUUUUUUAGUUGUCAUAGUUUCAAUUUUUAGAGUCAAACAAUAUGAAUUUGACAAACAUUUUAAGAUAUUUUUCUUCAUCAUAUUGAUAUAAAAAAAGUUGCAAUUUAUAGUACUUUCCAUAUAGUUUUUGAAUAUCUAAAAUUUUAUUUUAAAAUAUCGAAUGAAUAUGUAAUCUAAUUUAGCUUUGAAAGUUAGUUAAAUUGACUUUCAAAAAGCUCAACAUGACAACUAAAAAGGAACGGAUGGAGUAUCAUUUUUGUGGUCAUGAUCUGUUCUAUGAUACAGAAGGUUAAUAAUUAAUUUCUGUAAAUGAAUUAAUUUUUUACUUUGAAAAAUUAGGUGCCUUUUUAAAUUUUAUAUGUUCAUAAUCUGAAAUUGUCUUUAAAAACCAUUUCCAUUUUAGCAAUAACACAAUGUUUAAUUGUUGAUCCUCAUAUAUCUCGAAGAAACAUCAAUCUCCUUCCCUCCUGAGUAUGUUCACGAUAAAAUGACUGAAGUUCAAUCAUACGUAACUUUAGACACUAUAUAUCUAAAAUUAUUUCAAAGUAGAUAAAUUUAUAAAUUUUUACAUAUGGCGAAGCAAGUAUGACUUAAAUUAUAAUCCCAAAAAUAAUUGCAUAUGUUAUAUAUGUUCACCUGGUCCUCCAUAUAACACUAAAUUACCAGAAUUAUCCCCAGAAUUUGGAUAAUCAAUAACCCUAUACAAAUUUGGACUAUUUGCAAAUAAUUUCACUUCAAUAUCAUCUAAAGAUUUAGUUUCAUUUUUAUUAGUUACGUAGGUACUUUUUCUACAAUAUCCAUCUUUUUUCAUAUCUCCAACUGGAAAAUAGCCACUGCCCAUAGAAGGUUCUGGUACACCUGGUGGACUAUACGCAACUCCUCCAAAUUCAGCACUUGUUGCAAAUCCAUUUAACUUUGUAAAUAUCUUUGAUGGCCAAAAUCCAACUAAUGUAUAGUUUGGUCCCAUUUUAAACCACCAAUUUCCAUUUGACAUGUCCUAUAUUAUAACCGAAAAGAAGAAAAAAAAAGUUAAGUUUCAUUAGUGCUCGAUAUAGAAUUUGAAGUUUGUGAGUUCCUAAUACGAUCACGUAAGUUCAUAUCAUACAAAAGAAUUGGACAUACAAUCAAAUAUUUAUAGAUAUUUAGUCGAUUUUUAAAAAUAUAUAUACAAUUUGAACAAAAGCUAAUGAUUCAGUAACGGCCCAGCCCUCUAAUGAUAUCGUCCUCUCUGGAUCUAGACCCGCACAACUUUGAAAUGCAUCACUAGUUGAUAAAAUCUGCUUACUUAUAUAUCCAACAUUUCUUCUGUGUUUUUGCUGACGUGGGACGACUUUUUUAUCUUAAGCUGGGACGUCACAGAUUCACAUGAACCCGUAACUUAUAAGCAAAAUCAUGCCUAAAGAGCGUUUCGUUCUUUAAUCGACCUUAUAAGACGUGAAUCCAAACUACUCAAAUCACAAAGUAUAAGACACCAGGUGAAAAAUCGAAAAAAAAUAUGUUAAAAGUAUAUGAAGAUGCACACUUACACGAGCAAUGUACAUUGGUAAAUCAUAAAUAGGUCCACCAUAAGUUGAGCCAGGAAGUUCCCCAUCUAAAGGUAUUGCAGUAUUUAUAUGUAUACAUCCAGGACAUCGAGUAUUAUAACAAGCUAAUUUUCCAGCCUGUCAUCGUAAGAAAAAAAUAAUCGAAUAUUAAUUAAUACAUCAAUUUUCAAGUAAAUCAUAACAUAAUUAGUUUUAAUACGAAAGAAGCACCUUAAAAUAUGUGUAUAAAUGUCUACAUAGAUAGGUGGAUUCACCUAAUAUAGAAUUUAGAGUUAGUAGAUAUACAGUCGCGAUUUAUAUAUAACCUGAGUUAAAGAUACUAAUACGAACUAAUUAGUAUUACAAAACUUACUGUCCAACCAACUUGUAUACGGUCGAUUUCAUUUUGAACCUUAAUACGACCUCCACUAUGUUGAUGUCCACUAAGAUUUUGAGGAUUAUGCAAGCUUAAAAUUGCUCCUGCUCCUGCCAUUUGAUUACUUGGAUUAUUUGGGAUUUUCACUACUGCAAACUGAAUUAAGCAAAAUCAUAACGAUCAGAAUAAGUGUGAUCUUAUUAUAUGUAUAUUUUUAAAUAUUAUUUUUUGCAUAUGUAUAUCGUAUAUAUAUAGUAAUAGAAUAUGGAUGAUAAAAACAUACAAACCUUGUAGCCUCCUCCAAAUUUUGUAUGAGAUUUGGUUACAUUUGAAGCAUUGAACUCUAUACCCUACAUAGAAAUAAUAACCAUAUAUAUUGUGAAUAAGAAUAUAAAAAGAGAAGCUUGAAUUUUUGAAAUUUUAAAAACUUGUAGAAAAUCUUGCAACAAACUCACAUCACCAUCAGGAGAAUCAUCUGCACCUCUAAUUUGUGAUAAAAGUUUUUGUUGUAUUAGAUCGUCUUUAGUAAUUCUUCUAAUAGGAACUGUUCCAGUAGGACAAUCUCCGCCUUUUAACCCUAUGUUAAAAGGUCUAUUAGUGUUUGAAGAAAUGCCAUCUUUUUGUAAAUUGGGCAAGGUAGGUUUCAUCUGCAUCCAAAAAGAUUAGUUUUAUGAGUUUCUAUAUAUGUACAACAAUUUUUUUUUCUUCAAAAUUUGAUUACAAAAAUCGGAUUAUACGAACUUGAAACUAGUGUAUAGAUAUAUACCUCUGGAUGAAAAUCGUGAUUUUUCAGUAAAGAAUGAUCGAAUGCAGGUUGUUUGUAAAAAUCCACACAAUCAUAUAUUUCUCCAUAUUUUCCCUACUUAACAACAAAUAAUAGCAAUUAUUGCCCAAUCUUAAUAUAAUAAACAUAGAUGUAGUGCAAAAUUACAUCUAAUAUUUUUUAUGUGAUUGUUCCUUAUGUACAUCUCAAUAGCUAACGUUACAAUUCUAAUCAUAGUGUCACGAGUUCGAAUCUCCAUAACCAUCCGAUUGUUGCAAUAUAAUGAGGUCUUUUUACUUUUUCAUCACGUACGUCAGACGAAAGAUGUUAUUUUCUUUAUAAUCUUCAUAAGAACAAUAGAGAUUGUACCUUAAUCGUCUUGAUUGCUGGCUUAUUAAGAAGCUUUAGUUGCUUCUCUAACUCUAAAUCUUCUGCUUCAACUUCAAAUUGGUUCAAAAAUAGAGAAAUUGCAACCAAAAAUUGUAUGAUGGCAUGGCACUUAGAUGCAAUGACAUUUUCCUAUGUAUCCAAUAUUGUAGUUGAUUAAUUUUUCUUUAAUUGUUACAACUCAUUUCAAGCAAAUAUACCAUUGAUUAUCAACAAGUUAAUAAAGAAAACAACAAAGUUAUGUCACAUUAAUUACCUAAUUUAUUAAGACUUGAACACAAGAUUAACUAAAAACUCCACAACUAAUAAGGGAUUUUAUACUAAUCAAAAUAGGAUAGGCUCGUUUUAAUACAAGUCCAUAAAAUUUGACCUUGUGAUAUUUUAUUUAAUGCAUUAUAAUAAGUGAUUAUAUUUGAAAUCAGGAUUUGAAGUUAAAAUUUGUUUAGACAUGCAAUAUACAUUUCUUAAAUUCAUUUUUUUUUAUAAACAUGAAAAACCCAUAAUUUGUAAAAAAACAUUAAAAAGAAAAUCUCCAACUCUUAUACCAAAUGAACAAACAAUAGUUUAUAAACAAAAUAUCGAAAUAUCUUAAGACACUGAUCAAUUAAUCACAUAUUUCUAUGUUUCUUUUAUUUAUGUUCACCUGGUCCUCCAUAUAGGACUAAAUUACCAGAUUCAACCCCAGAGUUUGGAUAAUCAGCAACUCUAUACAAAUUUGGACUAUUUGCAUAUAAUUUCACUUCAAUAUCAUCUAAAGAUUUUGUUUCAUUUUUAUCUGUUAAGUACGUACUAUUCUUACAAUAUCCAUCUUUUUUCAAGUCUCCAACUGGAAAAUAGCCACCGCCCAUAGAAGGUUCUGAUACACCUGGUGGACUAUAUACGAUUCCUCCAUAUUCAACACUUGUUGCAAAUUCAUUUAACUUUGUAAAUAUUUUUGAUGGCCAAAAUCCAACUGAUGUAUAGUUUGGUCCAAAUUUAAACCACCAAUUUCCAUUUGACAUGUCCUAUAAAUGGUAAAAGAAAAAAAAAAGUCAGACAAAUAACAAAAAAAGGUUAAGUUUAAGGAUUGAUAGUAUGCAUUAUUUAUAUAGUCAGAUCGCUUACAAAAUAAUUACAUGUUAUUCUAUAUAAUAAACAUUCAGUAGUAAUAUAGAAUAAAUGAUAAGUAACAUGCUAAAACAUUUCAAAGUACACAAAUAUAUAUAUAUAUAAUAAAGGAGAAACANNNNNNNNNNNNNNNNNNNNNNNNNNNNNNNNNNNNNNNNNNNNNNNNNNNNNNNNNNNNNNNNNNNNNNNNNNNNNNNNNNNNNNNNNNNNNNNNNNNNNNNNNNNNNNNNNNNNNNNNNNNNNNNNNNNNNNNNNNNNNNNNNNNNNNNNNNNNNNNNNNNNNNNNNNNNNNNNNNNNNNNNNNNNNNNNNNNNNNNNNNNNNNNNNNNNNNNNNNNNNNNNNNNNNNNNNNNNNNNNNNNNNNNNNNNNNNNNNNNNNNNNNNNNNNNNNNNNNNNNNNNNNNNNNNNNNNNNNNNNNNNNNNNNNNNNNNNNNNNNNNNNNNNNNNNNNNNNNNNNNNNNNNNNNNNNNNNNNNNNNNNNNNNNNNNNNNNNNNNNNNNNNNNNNNNNNNNNNNNNNNNNNNNNNNNNNNNNNNNNNNNNNNNNNNNNNNNNNNNNNNNNNNNNNNNNNNNNNNNNNNNNNNNNNNNNNNNNNNNNNNNNNNNNNNNNNNNNNNNNNNNNNNNNNNNNNNNNNNNNNNNNNNNNNNNNNNNNNNNNNNNNNNNNNNNNNNNNNNNNNNNNNNNNNNNNNNNNNNNNNNNNNNNNNNNNNNNNNNNNNNNNNNNNNNNNNNNNNNNNNNNNNNNNNNNNNNNNNNNNNNNNNNNNNNNNNNNNNNNNNNNNNNNNNNNNNNNNNNNNNNNNNNNNNNNNNNNNNNNNNNNNNNNNNNNNNNNNNNNNNNNNNNNNNNNNNNNNNNNNNNNNNNNNNNNNNNNNNNNNNNNNNNNNNNNNNNNNNNNNNNNNNNNNNNNNNNNNNNNNNNNNNNNNNNNNNNNNNNNNNNNNNNNNNNNNNNNNNNNNNNNNNNNNNNNNNNNNNNNNNNNNNNNNNNNNNNNNNNNNNNNNNNNNNNNNNNNNNNNNNNNNNNNNNNNNNNNNNNNNNNNNNNNNNNNNNNNNNNNNNNNNNNNAUAUAUAUAUAUAUUAAUUAUUAUUUUUAGAUUAUCAUUGGAUUAUAAAAUAUUUUAUGAUGAAUACGAUCAUUUCACCUUUAAUUAGAGUAUUUUGAAUUCGAGCUCAGAAUAUGAAAAAACAGAAGAAGGAAGAUUUACACAAAUGUCCUUGCUAUGCCUUAAUUUAGAUUUUGUCUGUCUUUGAAAGUUGUGCAAAUAUAGCUCUUAGGAUUCACAAAACAUUAUAUUGUUGUGUAGCGUAUGUCUACAAAACUUCAGAUACUAGUCUAACGUUUUCUCAUAAAAUUUACAGUUUGCUCAAAAAAAAUUAUAUGCAAUAGUCUAAAAAGUCUAUAAGUUGCAAGAGAAAUUAAAAAUGGUCGACAUUCACAAAGCAAUUAUCCCCAAAAAGAGACUAGACAAAAAUUGUGGAAGGAAUUUUGGUAAAGAGUGUUUCUCUUUUUAAUGAGUUCUACGUAACGUAGAUCCAAAUUAGUUAAGACCCCAAAACGGAUAACAGAUACUGAGUGGAAAACUUUAAAAAAUAGGGGAAGAUGCACACUUACAAGAGCAAUGUACAUUGGUACAUCAUAAAUAGGUCCACCAUAAGUAGAGCCAGGAAGAUCUCCAUCUAAAGGUAUUGCAGUAUUUAUAUGAAUAAAUCCAGGACAUCGAGUAUUAAAACAAGCUAAUUUUUCUGUCUGCAAUCAUAAAAAAAUAAUAUUAAUUAAUACAUCGACUUUCAAGCAAAUCAUAUCAUAAUUAGUUUUAAUACGAAAGAAGUUAAAGAAAAUUACCUUUAAAUACGUGUAUAAUCGUGUAUGAGUGUCUCCAUAGACAUAUGGAUUCACCUAACAUAAAUUUAUUAGGUAACUUUGAUUAGCAUAUAUAGUCCGAUGCAGGAUUUAGAGUCAGUAGAUACACUCACACAUAUAAUUACUCGAGUUGUAAUUAAAACUUACUAUCCAACCGACUUGUAUGCUUUCGAUCCCAUUUUGAACCUUAAUACGACCAGCACUAAAUUGAUGUCCACUAAGAUUUUGAGGAUUAUGUAAGCUAAUAAUUGCUCCUGCUCCUGUUAUUUUGUUUGUUGAGUUGUCUGGGAUUUGCACUGUUGCAAACUGAAAUAAAGCAAAAACACAACAUUUUUUAAGCCUCUAGUUAGUUGAUAUACAUAAAUUAUUAAACUAAUUAUACAUUGCUACACAUGUAUAUACAUAUAUUAUACAUUUGUUGGCUAUUUUUAAGGGGUGGACGGGUAUAAUGUGUUAGAAUAUCAAAAAUAUUAGUGUUUCGUAGCUAGAAUAUGGAAUAAUAAAAGCAUAUAAACCUUGCGUCCUCCUUUAAAAGGUGUACUUGAGUUGGUUCGAUCUAAAACACUGGAUUCUAUACCCUGCACAGAAAUAAUAAUCAUAUCUAUUGUGAAGAAAAAUAUGGAAAAAGUGUUUGAAUUUUGAAAUUCGAAAAAAAUUGUAGAAAUUUUUGCACUGAACUUACAUCACCAUCAGGGGAUUCAUCCGCGCCUCUAAUUUGUGAUGAGAGUGUUUGUCGUAUUAGAUCGUCUUUAGUAAUUCUUCUGAUAGGAACUGUUCCGGUAGGACAACCUCCGCCUUUUAACCCAAUGUUAAAAGGUUUGUUAAUGUGUGAUGAAGUGUCAUCUCCAUGUAAAUUGGGCAAGAUAGGUUUCAUCUGUAUCCAACAACAACAUAUUCAGUGAAAUUCCACAAGUGAAGUCUGAAGAGGGUUAAAUGUACACAAACCUUACACCUAGCUCGAGAGGUAGAGAGAUUGUUUCUUAAAUUUGUUUCAAAAUUUGAUUAUAAAAAUUAGAUUGUAUGAACUUGAAACUAGAGUAUAGAUGUACCUCGGGAUGAAAAUUGUGAUUCUUCAAUAGAGGAUGAUCGAAUGCAGGUUGUUUGUAAAAGUCCACACAAUCAUAUAUUUCUCCAUAUUUCCCCUGCUUAUCAAAUAGUAUACUACUAAUUAGUCUCCAAUCUUUAUAUAAACAUAGAUAUAGUACAAACUAUUAUUCUUAAUAUUUAUAUUGUGAUUGUCCCUUAUGGACAUCCAAAUCCCAAUAGCUAACAUAUUACGAUUCAAAUCGCAGUCGAGUUCAAAUCUUUAUGACCAUCUGAUUACUCUAGUACAGUAAGGUUAUUAUUAUUUCUCCAUCACUUUAGACGAAAUAAAUUAUUUUCUUUAAAAUCUUUAUAAAAUAGAGAUUGUACCUUUAUAGUCUUGAUAGCUGGCUUAUUUAUAAGCUUCAAUUGCCUCUCCAAUUCCAAAUCUUCAACCUUAGAUAGGCUUUGUCUUGCUUCAAUUUUGGCAUAGCUCAAUAAUAGUGAAAUUGCAACCACAAUUUGUAAUAUAGCUCUCAGAUGCAUCAAUGAUUUCUACAUUAAUUUGAGAAAUAAUUAAGCAAACUUUUGGAUUAGAAAUAUAUACAUAAAUGACCCAAAGAAAGAAUUAGAAUAGAAAUAUAUAUAAAUGACCACCUCAAUUUCAUGGAAACACACAACAAAAAUUCAAAAUUCAUGGGAUACAUGUCAACUCUCACCAGCAGUAAACACCACCAAAAAAAUUCAAAGCAUACGAAAAUGAAUUUCUGAAAAGUUACCUGAUGUGACAUGACUCUUGAGAUGAUAUUUGUAACAAAAUACAAAUGAAUCUAAACUUAAACUAGUAUAUUAGUUGAAGAUGGGGAAGUAUUUAUUUAAAUGGUGCAAGUAAAAAUAGUAAUGUUACAAUUAACUUUCUACAUUUUGGAUUUAUUAUAAAGGGAAUAAAUUUACGAGAAUCUGAAAUCAUUUUUUUGGACAUCUUUUUGAUGAUGCAGAUAAGGUAAACUAGUAAGUAAUUCAUUUCUUAUAAAUGUGUUUUGACUAAUUUUAUAAACUGAUUAAAUUAGCUUAUAAAUAUAUAUAUAUAUAUAUAUAUAUAUAUAUANNNNNNNNNNNNNNNNNNNNNNNNNNNNNNNNNNNNNNNNNNNNNNNNNNNNNNNNNNNNNNNNNNNNNNNNNNNNNNNNNNNNNNNNNNNNNNNNNNNNNNNNNNNNNNNNNNNNNNNNNNNNNNNNNNNNNNNNNNNNNNNNNNNNNNNNNNNNNNNNNNNNNNNNNNNNNNNNNNNNNNNNNNNNNNNNNNNNNNNNNNNNNNNNNNNNNNNNNNNNNNNNNNNNNNNNNNNNNNNNNNNNNNNNNNNNNNNNNNNNNNNNNNNNNNNNNNNNNNNNNNNNNNNNNNNNNNNNNNNNNNNNNNNNNNNNNNNNNNNNNNNNNNNNNNNNNNNNNNNNNNNNNNNNNNNNNNNNNNNNNNNNNNNNNNNNNNNNNNNNNNNNNNNNNNNNNNNNNNNNNNNNNNNNNNNNNNNNNNNNNNNNNNNNNNNNNNNNNNNNNNNNNNNNNNNNNNNNNNNNNNNNNNNNNNNNNNNNNNNNNNNNNNNNNNNNNNNNNNNNNNNNNNNNNNNNNNNNNNNNNNNNNNNNNNNNNNNNNNNNNNNNNNNNNNNNNNNNNNNNNNNNNNNNNNNNNNNNNNNNNNNNNNNNNNNNNNNNNNNNNNNNNNNNNNNNNNNNNNNNNNNNNNNNNNNNNNNNNNNNNNNNNNNNNNNNNNNNNNNNNNNNNNNNNNNNNNNNNNNNNNNNNNNNNNNNNNNNNNNNNNNNNNNNNNNNNNNNNNNNNNNNNNNNNNNNNNNNNNNNNNNNNNNNNNNNNNNNNNNNNNNNNNNNNNNNNNNNNNNNNNNNNNNNNNNNNNNNNNNNNNNNNNNNNNNNNNNNNNNNNNNNNNNNNNNNNNNNNNNNNNNNNAUAUUUGGUAAAUACUAAAAUGUUACAAGUCAAAAGUCAUAAGGUUAAUCCUAAACUUAUGAUUUUAUACCUAAUAAAUAUUUUUGGUUUGACCAAAUAUUUUACGAUUUUAUUGCUGAUAUUAUUUGUAAUCUUUGAAAUACUCUUCCUAAAUCAUAUUAUUUAUUUAUCUUUCUAUUCUAUUUUCAACAAAAAAAAAAGAAUUAAAAUUAUAUAUAUGUUGGGCUCAGCCAGUCCAAAGAUACUUUUACAUAGUGUGAUAUUGUUCACUUUGGGCCAAACUCACAUGGUUUUCCCCCAAUGGGCCUCACACCAGAGAUCAUACACUUUAUAUGAGCUUUCCAAUCUUUUUAGUUAGCUAUCAAUGCGGAACACUGGAACUUUUGUUUGCAAACCCGACAAUUGCCCCCUUGAACUAAGUUCCACGUGGCCUAUCACCAUUAUCCAUGAGUCAAUUUUUUUAUAUUUACUGUAUAUCACCCAUAUCAUUUUAGUAGGCAAUCGAAUCCCACAACUAUCUUCUUCUUGUGUGUGCAUCUCUGAUAAGAAUCAACGGGGCAAGUGAAAGAAAAAAAAACAUAUGUGGAUUAAUAUUAAGAAAUUGAAAUUAUGGGUUGCCCCUUAUAGACAUCCCCAAUUGGUUAUAAGGCAUUGAUUCAAGUUCACAUGAUAUACACACAUCUAAUACAGAUAUUAUAAAGGCUGCGAGACAAAUUGGUGUAGACCUAGGUUCAAAAGGACAAUAUGUGUCAUGAGCUUGAGUCGUGACAAAUAUGGUAUUACAAUUUGUACUCUCUUACGUCGGUGGGCCAAACCCCCUUUUGAAGAUCACAUGCACAUGACAGCUUAGGUAAAUCGAAUGUGAGAGGAACCUGUUUCUCAAAUGCACCGACAUUUUUCUGCAUAUCAUAUUGUAGAGAUGCAAGCCAAAUGUGUUUAACUAAUUGUUCUUCAAUUUUUACAAUUCAUUUCAAGCAAGUUUACUAGGGUUAUGUCACACGAAUUACCUGAUUUACUGAGAUUCUGAACACAAAAAUACAAGAUGAACAAAAAAGCUAGAAACUAAUAAGGGAUUUAUACUAACCAAAAUAGGAUUAACUUCUUUUUAAUGUUUCAAGUCACCUAUCUAACCUUGGGGUUUUUUAUUUAACGCAUUAGUAUAAUGAUUGGAUUACAUCUAACCAAUUAAUACAUGUUUUGGUGAUAGAGGGAACUGAUACUUUUUGACUAUUGUUGAUUUAUACAUUUGCUGAGAAAUAAUUUGUGUUUGAUUAAUUAAUUGGAGAAACACUAUUAAGCAUAAUUACUGUACGACCAAGCUUUUUAAAACUUACUUCUCACAUUGAUACUCUUAGAUAUACAAUAUAAGAUAAACUUCUUUGAUACUCUUUGAAUAUACAAUAUAACACUUCAUUCUAGUCAUUGUUUCUCACAUUGAUCCUUUAUCAAUACUUCUCAAAUGCCCCACAUCAAUAUACUACACUUAUAACUCGGGAACAUAUGAGUGGCACACAUGCUACUUCUCAAAAGCUCAACAUCAACAUACCACACUCAUGACUAGAGAACUUGUGAGUGACACACACCUUGAGUUCACCACAAGUCCUUGCUUAACUUAUUUGAUACUCUUAGGGGUCGUUUAGUGUGAGGGAUAAAAAUAAAUAGUGAUGGGAUAAAAUUUUUGUAUCUUGUUUGGUUGCCAUGUUUGGGAUAACUUAUCUCACCAUUUAUAUCUUAGUGUGAUGGGAUAAGCUAUCUCAUAUACAUGAUGGGAUAAGUUAUCCCAGAAUAGUUAACCCCAGGAUAUAUAACUUAUCCUAGGAUAACUAGUUCCCAACCAAAUGACCCCUUAGGAUAUAAUCUCGCAUUGACCAUCUUCCAAAUACUUCUCAAAAGUCCAAUGGCAACACACCACACUCACACAAUUGACGCUUGUGCAACCAAGGCUUGGUUAACCUAACAAGUAUAUUCAUUAAUGAAAAAAUCAUUUCCUAUAUACUAAAUUUCAAUAGCCAUUACGAAAAAACAUAAAAGGUUGUGUUGAUGUCCACAAUAAUUUUGGUUUUUGGGAUAAAAAUAUAACAGGUUUCACUUUUGGACCUUACAAAAGCUUUUGAUUUGGUGACAACUAAUUUGGGCUUCUCGAUGAGGGAGGAUUACUUGGUGACUUUUCAUAGUACAAUGGCUAAGACUUGAAUGAAUUUCUUAUUCCUUAAAAAGUGUGAUAGAAGUUUGUGUAAGGAUUGUAAGGGUAUCCUAAAUGAAUAUCUUACGACUUAACAUAAGAUUUUGACAACAAAUUUAGAGAUUAAGGAGAAGAGGAGGGAUCUAUAUGGCCUCCUAAGAAUCACAUAAGUGGCUUAACUACAACUAGAGCUCAAAAGAGAGGGUUAAGAUGAUUGAGAUGGGAGCUUGGGAUCUCGAGGGGCAACACGAGUGGACAUAGAAGGGAUAGGUCCAGAGGGCCUCUUCAUAUCCAAGAGGCUAACAAACUUCUCACCAUUUUCUAGUUUUUCCUACUACUAUCUUAUUCUUUUAUUUUAUUACUUGUUAAUUCUUUUGCUUCAGUUACGUCUUAUUUGUUGUUUUAAUGAUGUUCUUAUCCUUUAUCCUUAGCACAAUCUCUUCAUUACAAUAUUUUUUCUCCAUACUUGAGUUUGAUAUUUUAUUUUAUUUAGCAAUAUAUAGGGAACUGUGUAUUAACAAAAUUUCAUCAUUCAAACAAUGAUGAGAGUGACACUUACAUCCCAUAGGGUAAAAACUGAAGGCCAUAAGAACUAAUCUAUGGAGCUUUACAAUUUCCCUAUAAAAUCAACAAAAGUUCUAUAUCCCCACCAUAUCCCGUUUACACCAAAAAUAAAGAAGACUAAGACAAUUCAUUCUGAUAUUUUGAAUGUUGUUGUUUUUGUCUUCAAAACCUAUUGCAUUUCUUUCCUUCCAUAAUGUCCACUAGUCCUCUUCUGACUCUCUUCUUCCAAUCUCUUUCCAAUAAUCCAUCAUACUUUUAGUAAUUUUGGGAACAGCUCAACUCACUCCCAGUAUACACAAGAACAUGUUCCACAAAUUUGCAAUUGUUUUUCAAUGUAGAAAUAAAUGGCUAUUUAUUUCAACAUCCUGAUCACACAUAAAACAAGUAAAUAUGUCUACCUCUUCUCUAUAGUACUUUAUGAGUCAAACAAGCUUUUCUAUAGACUAACCACACAAAACAAGAAACUUUUAAGGGGACUUUGGCUUUCCAUAUUAUCUUCCAAGGCCAGUUCCUAAUCUGUAGUUGGCUAGUAUAUCUCCUCCAAUAACAUAAUUUCACAAUGAACUCACAUUUGUUGUGAAAUUUCCAUAUUGGUAUGUCAGGUGCAUUGGUAGUUCCAUUGAAAUCAUUUAUUAUCAUAAGCAAAUCUACAACUCUUUGAACCUCCCAAUAAUUUAAGGCCCUUCUAAAGUUGAAAUUCCAGCCUUGUAUCUAUAGUGACCCUAGUCUGUUCACCGAGAAGGAACAAAUUUUUUAAGCUCAUUUCACCUAUCCAAAGUUCAUUCUAGAACUCAAUCUUAAAGCCAUUACUCACAGUGAGUUAAAUAGUUUUUUGAAACUGGGGCCAAAGUCUCCAAACAGUCUUCCAAACACUACACCCAAAAGUUCUAAGGACAUCUUUAGUAAUCCAAUGACUUUGAAGUCUAUAUUUCUCAACUCACUCCAAGUAUACACGAGCAUGCUCCACAAAUUUGCAAUUGUUUUUCAAUGUAGAAAUAAAUGGCUAUUUAUUUCAGCAUCCUUAUCACACAUAAAACAAGUAAAUAUGUCUACCUCUUCUCUAUAGUACUUCAUGAGUCAAACAAGCUUUUCUACAUACAAACCACACAAACAAGAAACUUUUAAGGGGACUUUGGCUUUCCAUAUUAUCUUCCAAGGCCAGUUCCUAAUCUGUAGUUGGCUAGUAUUUCUCCUCCAAUAACUUCGCAAUGAACUCACAUUUGCUGUGAAGUUUUCCAUACUGGUUUAUCAGGUGCAUUGGUAGUUCCAUUGAAAUAAUUUAUUAUCAUAAGCAAAUCUACAACUCUUUGAACCUCCCAAUCAUUAAAGGCCUUUCUAAAGUUGAAAUUUCAACCUUGUAUCUAUAGUGGCACUAGUCCGUUGACCAAAGAGGAUAAAAAAUUUAAACUCAUUUCACUUAUUCAAAGUUCAUUCCAGAACUCAAUCUACAAGACAUUACUCACCUUGAGUUGAAUAUUUUUUUUGAAAUUGGGGUCAGAGUCUCCAAAUAGUCUUCCAAAUACUACAACCAAAAGUUCUAAGGACUUCUUUAGUAAUCCAAUGACUUUGAAGUCUAUAUUUCUCAACUCACUCCAAGUAUACACAAGAACAUGUUCCACAAAUUUGCAAUUGUUUUUCAAUGUAGAAAUAAAUAGCUAUUUAUUUCAGCAUCCUGAUCACACAUAAAACAAGUAAAUAUGUCUACCUCUUCUCUAUAGUACUUCAUGAGUCUAUCAAGGUUUUCUACAGACUAACCACACAAAACAAAAAACUUUUAAAGGGACUUUGGCUUUCCAUAUUAUCUUCCAAUGCCAGUUCCUAAUUUGUAGUUGGCUAGUAUUUCUCCUCCAAUAACUUCAUAGUGAACUCACCUUUGUUGUGAAGUUUCCAUACUGGUUUGUCAGGUGCAUUGGUAGUUCCAUUGAAAUCAUUUAUUAUCAUAAGCAAAUCUACAACUCUUUGAACCUCCCAAUCAUUAAAGGCCCUUCUAAAGUUGAAAUUUCAACCUUGUAUCUAUAGUGGCCCUAGUUCGUUAACCAAAGAGGAUAAGAAAUUUAAACUCAUUUCACUUAUUCAAAGUUCAUUCCAGAACUCAAUCUACAAGCCAUUACUCACCUUGAGAUGAAUAUUUUUUUUGAAAUUGGGCCAGAGUCUCCAAAUAGUCUUCCAAAUACUACAACCAAAAGUUCUAAGGACAUCUUUAGUAAUCCAGUGACUUUGAAGUCUAUAUUUCUAAAUGAUGAUCCUUUUCCAUAAAGUAGGGGUGUGCAUUAUUCGGAUUAAACUGAAUAACCAAACCAAAUUAAACCGAAUUUUAUUUGGAUUGGUUUUUUGGUUUUUCGGAUUGGUUUUGGAUUAAUAAAUUACUUUUUUUGGUUUGGUUUUGAAUUUUAAAAGAUAAAAACCAAAAAACCGAAAAAACCCGAAUUAUAUGUGUGUGUGUGUGUGUAUAUAUAUACACACAUGUAUAUAAAUGCUUAGGUUUAGAAUUAAGUUGGAGUUAACCACUUAUGUCCCUUUUUGGUUAUUGUCUUUCAUCAUGAUUACGUUUAUAUUUUAUAUUUUAUAUUUGAAUAUCUAUAAUAGGUAUAAUUAUAAGUAUUGUGUUUUAAGUUUUACUUAUUAUUUAUAUUAUAAAGUAUAUUUAAGAGAUUCAAUAUUAUUACUUUGGUUAUGUUAUUAAUUAUUGACAUAACCGAAUAACCAAACCGAAAAAAACCGAACCGAAUAGAGGAAAACCAAAUCAAACCAAAUUUAUUUUGGAUCGAAUUGGAUUACGCUUUUACAAAAUCAAAAACCAAAAAAUCCAAACCGAAAAACCGAAUGCACACCCCUACAUAAAGGGGUAUCCUAAUCACAGAGCCUCCCUAUCUUCACAAGCUAAAGAUUAAAAUUGCAUCCACCACCCUCUCUAAACCCCAUAUGUGAGACUAUAUUAGAUUUAUUGUUACAUACUAAAAAUAGCAUCAUAUCCAAAGUAUAAGCUACGAGUUCACAAAAUCCAAUAAACUUAACACAAACCUUGUUUAUAUAGUAAAUUAAUCAUUCAAUAACACCAUAAAAUUUUGAUUGUGAACACAAUCAUAAUUGGACAUUGAUUUAAGAUAGAUAAACAACAAUUCAAAAUCAAUAAAUUUUAAAUCUUGAAAUCGACUCACUAGCAAUAAUAUAUAAUAGAAUUUCAACCACAGUAAUCAUUUCAUUUGAACCAUAGUUGCAAAAUCCAAGGGGAAAAGAAAAGCAAAAUUCACAACAGAUUUUUUCCAUUUUUUCAAAGGGCUACAAAUGGCCUGAAAAUAUCAAAUACUUAGCCAUACAAAACACAAAAUCAUACCCUUAAUCCAAACAUAACCCUAAAUCCCCAAAAACACUUAGUAAAUUGUCAUAACAAAACCACUAAAUUUCCCAAUUAAACAAAAUAAAAUUAAAAUUUAUCACUUAAUUUUCUCAAUAUUUCAGAAAAGACCUUGUCCAUAUCAAGUGCCUUCAUAGGUCCAAAUGGCCUCUUCAUAUCCAAUACUUGAGUUUGAUUAUUUUUUUUUAGCAAUAGGUAACUAUAUAUUCACAAAAUUCCAUCAUUCAAACAAUGAUGAGAGUGAACACUUACAUCCCAUAGGGUAAAAAUUGAAGGUCAAAAGAACUAGUCUAUGUAGCUUUACAGUUUUCCUUUAAAAUCAACAAAAAGUUCUAUAUCCCCCCACCAUAUCCUGUUUACACCAAAAUAUAGAAAACUAAGGCAAUUCAUUCUGAUUUUUCGUAUGUUGUUGCUUUUAUCUUCAAAGCCUAUUGCAUUUCUUUCCUUCCACAAUGCUCACCAGAUGCUUGUAGGGAUCAAUUCCCACCAGUCCUCUUCUGUCAAUCUAUUUCCAACAGUCCAUCAUACUUUUAGUAGUUUAGGGAACAACCCAACUCACUCCAAUUAUACACAAGAACAUGUUCCACAAAUUUGUAAUUGUUUUACAGUGUAGAAAUAAAUGGCUAUUUUAUUUCAGCAUCCUGAUCACACAUAAAAUAACUUGAGCAUAUUUGUCUACCUCUUCUAUGUAGUACUUCAUGAGUCAAACUAGCUUUUCCAUAGACUAACCACACAAAAUAAGAAAAUUUUAAGGGGACUUUGGCUUUCCAUAUUAGCUUCCAAGGGCAGUUCCUAAUGUGUAGUUUUCUCCUCCAAUAGCAUAACUUCACAGUGAACUCACCCUUGCUGUAACGUUUCCACAUUGGUCUGUCAAAUGCAUUGGUAGUUCCAGACAUUACAUUCAAAAAUUCUAAGGACAUCUUCAGUGAUCCAGUGACUUUGAAGUCCAUAUUUCGCAAUGAUGAUUCUUCUAUAAAGGCCAGUUCAUAAUGUGUAGUAAGCCAAUAUUUCUCCUACAAUAGCAUAACUUCACAGUGAACUCACCCUUGUUGUGAAGUUUCCACAUUAGUCUGUCAAAUGUAUUGGUAGUUCCAUUGAAAUCAUUUAUUACCAUAAGCAAAUCUACAACUCUUUGAACCUUCCAAUCAUUUAAGGCCCUUCUAAAGUUGAAAUUCCAACCUUGUAUAUAUAGUGGCCCUAGUCUAUUGACCGAGGAGGAACAUAAAUUUUAAACUUAUUUCACCAAUCCAAAGUUCAUUCCAGAACUCAAUCUUCAAGUUAUUACUCACCUUAAGUUAGAAUAUUUUUUUGAAACUAAGGCUUGAGUCUCCAAAUAGUUUUUCCCAAACACUACAUUCAAAAGUUCUAAGGAUAUCUUCAGUGAUCCAGUGACUUUGAAGUCCAUAUUUCUCAAAAUGAUUCUUUUCUAUAAAGGCCAGUUCCUAAUGUGUAGUAAGCAUUAUUUCUCCUCCAAUAGCAUAACUUCACAGUAAACUCACCCUUGUUGUGAAGUUUUCACAUUGGUCUGUCAAAUGCAUUGGUAAUUCCAUUGAAAUCAUUUAUUACCAUAAGCAAAUCUACAAUUCUUUAAAACCUUCCAAUUAUUUAAGGCCCUUCAAAAUUUGAAAUUCCAACCCUGUAUCUAUAGUGGCCCUAGUCUAUUGAUCGAGGAGGAACAUAAGUUUUAAGCUUAUUUCACCUAUCCAAAGUUCAUUCCAGAACUCAAUCUUCAAGUCAUUACUCACCUUAAGUUGAAUUUUUUUGAAAUUGGGGCCUGAGCCUCCAAAUAGUUUUCCAGACACUACAUUCAAAAAUUCUAAGGACAUCUUCAGUGAUCCAAUGACUUUGAAGUCCAUAUUUCACAAUGAUGAUUCUUUUCUAUAAAGGCCAGUUCAUAAUGUGUAGUAAGCCAAUAUUUCUCCUCCAAUAGCAUAACUUCACAGUGAACUCACCCUUGUUAUGAAGUUUCCACAUUGGUCUGUCAAAUGUAUUGAUAGUUCCAUUGAAAUCAUUUAUUACCAUAAGCAAAUCUACAACUCUUUGAACCUCCCAAUCAUUUAAGGCCCUUCUAAAAUUGAAAUUUCAACUUUGUAUCUAUAGUGGCCCUAGUCUAUUGACCGAGGAGGAACAUAAAUUUUAAACUUAUAUCACCAAUCCAAAGUUCAUUCCAGAACUAAAUCUUCAAGUCAUUACUCACCUUAAGUUAGAAUAUUUUUUUGAAACUGAGGCUUGAGUCUCCAAAUAGUUUUUUCCAAACACUACAUUCAAAAGUUCUAAGGACAUCUUCAGUGAUCCAGUGACUUUGAAGUUCAUAUUUCUCAAAAUGAUUCUUUUCUAUAAAGGCCAGUUCCUAAUGUGUAGUAAGCAAUAUUUCUCCUCCAAUAGCAUAACUUCACAAUGAACUCAACCUUGCUGUGAAGUUUCCACAUUGGUCUAUCAAAUGCAUUGGUAGUUCCAUUGAAAUCAUUUAUUACCAUAAGCAAAUCUAUAAUUCUUUAAAACCUUCCAAUUAUUUAAGGCCCUUCUAAAUUUGAAAUUCCAACCCUGUAUCUAUAGUGGCCCUAGUCUAUUGAUCGAGGAGGAACAUAAGUUUUAAUCUUAUUUCACCUAUCCAAAGUUCAUUCCAGAACUCAAUCUUCAAGUCAUUACUCACCUUAAGUUGAAUAUAUUUUUGAAAUUGGGGCCUGAGCCUCCAAAUAGUUUUCUAGACACUACAUUCAAAAGUUCUAAGGACAUCUUCAGUGAUCUAGUGACUUUGAAGUCCAUAUUUCGCAAUGAUGAUUCUUUUCUAUAAAGGCUAGUUCAUAAUGUGUAGUAAGCCAAUAUUUCUCCUCCAAUAGCAUAAAUUCACAGUGAACUCACCAUUGUUGUAAAGUUUCCACAUUGGUCUGUCAAAUGUAUUGGUAGUUCCAUUGAAAUCAUCUAUUACCAUAAGCAAAUCUACAACUCUUUAAACCUCCCAAUCAUUUAAGGCCCUUCUAAAGUUGAAAUUCCAACCUUGUAUAUAUAGUGGCCCUAGUCUAUUGACCGAGGAGGAACAUAAAUUUUAAACUUAUUUCACCAAUCCAAAGUUCAUUCCAGAACUCAAUUUUCAAGUCAUUACUCACCUUAAGUUAGAAUAUUUUUUUGAAACUGAGGCUUGAGUCUCCAAAUAGUUUUUUCCAAACACUACAUUCAAAAGUUCUAAGGACAUCUUCUGUGAUCCAGUGACUUUGAAGUCCAUAUUUCUCAAAAUGAUUCUAUUCUAUAAAGGCCAGUUCCUAAUGUGUAGUAAGUCGUAUUUCUCCUCCAAUAGCAUAACUUCACAAUGAACUCACCCUUGCUGUGAAAUUUCCACAUUGGUCUGUCAAAUGCAUUGGUAGUUCCAUUGAAAUCAUUUAUUACCAUAAGCAAAUCUACAAUUCUUUAAAACCUUCCAAUUAUUUAAGGCCCUUUUACAUUUGAAAUUCCAACCCUGUAUCUAUAGUGGCCCUAGUCUAUUGACCGAGGAGGAACAUAAAUUUUAAACUUAUUUCACCAAUCCAAAGUUCAUUCCAGAACUCAAUUUUCAAGUCAUUACUCACCUUAAGUUGAAUAUUUUUUUGAAACUGGGGCCUGAGUCUCCAAAUAGUUUUCCAAACACUACAUUCAAAAGUUCUAAGGACAUCUUCUGUGAUCCAGUGACUUUGAAGUCCAUAUUUCUCAAAAUGAUUCUAUUCUAUAAAGGCCAGUUCCUAAUGUGUAGUAAGUCGUAUUUCUCCUCCAAUAGCAUAACUUCACAAUGAACUCAACCUUGCUGUGAAGUUUCCACAUUGGUCUAUCAAAUGCAUUGGUAGUUCCAUUGAAAUCAUUUAUUACCAUAAGCAAAUCUACAAUUCUUUAAAACCUUCCAAUUAUUUAAGGCCCUUUUACAUUUGAAAUUCCAACCCUGUAUCUAUAGUGGCCCUAGUCUAUUGAUCGAGGAGGAACAUAAGUUUUAAGCUUAUUUCACAUAUCCAAAGUUCAUUCCAAAACUCAAUCUUCAAGUCAUUACUCACCUUAAGUUGAAUAUUUUUUUGAAACUGGGGCCUGAGUCUCCAAAUAGUUUUCCAAACACUACAUUCAAAAGUUCCAAGGACAUGUUCAGUGAUCUAGUGACUUUGAAAUCCAUAUUUCUCAAUGAUGAUUAUUUUUUUUAUAAAGGCAUAUCCUCACCAUAGAUCUCCCUAUUUUCAUAAGCUAAAAGAUUAAAAUGGUGUCAACUAUCCUUUUCAGACCCAUAUGUGAGAUUAUACUAAAUUUGUUGUUACAUGCUAAAAAUAGAAUCACAUCCAAAGUAUAAGCUAUAGGUUCACAAAAUCCAAUAACUUUAACACAAACCUAGUUUAUAGAGUAAAUUAAUCAUUCAAUAACACCAUAAAAUUUUGAUUGUGAACACAAUCAUAAUUGGGCAUUAAUUUAAAAUAGAUAAACAACCAUUCAAAAUCAAUAAAUUUCAAAUCUUGAAAUCGACUCACUAGCAAUAAUAUAUAAUAAAAUUUCAACCACAGUAAUCAUUUCAUUUUAAGCAUAGUUGCAAAAUGCAAGGGGAAAAGAAAAGCAAAAUUUACAACAAUUUGUUUCCAUAUUUUUUCAAAGGGCUCAAAUGGAUUGAAAAUAUCAAGUACUUAGCCAUACAAAACACAAAAUCAUACCCUUAAUCCAAACAUAAUCCUAAAUCCCCAAAAACACUUAGUAAAUUGUCAUAACAAAACCACCAAAUUUCCCCAUUAAGCAAAAUAAAAUUAAAAUUUAUCACUUAAUUUUCUCAAUAAUUUCAGAAAUGACCUUGUCCAUAUUAAGUGCCUUCAUAGGUCCAAAUGGCCUCUUCAUAUCCAAAAGGCUAACAAACUUCUCCCCCUUUUCACCAUCGACCCGGAUUUCAAGACAACCCCUUCUCGGCUUUUCCGGGUUGACCCGAACCUCCAAGCCGGGUACCCCUUUUUCCAGCUCCUCCUUCACCUUCACAGCCCGAAUCUUGAACUGACUGCACUGUGUACAGUGCUCAACAACAACAAUCUUCUUCGACCCGGAAUCAACUGGAGCCUUCACUUUCGAUUUCGCCUCAGAAACGGUACCCUUUUUGACCCGUUUUGGUUUUGGUGAAACCGGGUCAACUGAAACGGGUUUCGAGUUGCCAUUCCUGGUUUGGCUACGGGUUACACGUGUCGACAAUGGCUCUCCCACAGUUGCCUUUCUCUUUGGUGCCAUUAGAGAGAUUUCUAGGGUUUGUUUUUUUGCUGUAUUUUGGGGAUUUUUGAGAAAAACGAAGGGAGAGUUGUGUUAUUUAUAGGCCAUUUUUCUUUUGUCUUUGGAUAUUAAUUUUCCCGCGCUUUUUGAUGGCUGGAUUAAUUCAGACUAUUUUUUUUAAGACAAAAUACUUCAUUUGUCCCUAAUUACGUUCAUAAUUACUUGUUCACUUUUGAUUUGAUAUACCUAUUAAAAAAAAUAAUUGACAUAAUAAGUUUACCAUUUUACCUUUAUUAAUUAUGAGGUUGAUGAAUUAAAAAUUUAAGAUUUUUAAAAAGUUCUACCUUUUUUUCAAAGUUAAUUAAUUGAGGGUAUAAAAAAAAAAAUUAUCCUUUCUUGAUUUGUGAAAAUGAACAUGUAAAAAAGAAAAAUUUGACAAGUAAUUUGGAAUAGAGCGAGUAAUAAUAUUACCACUUUUGGGGGACUAGCACAUGGAUUUCUUUCCUUAUUUAAAAAAAUAAAUAAAGUAAUUUACAUAAGUAAAAUAAGUGAGAUCUGAAAUUCUAAAGUUAAAUAGUUAAAUACUUUAUGAAUUUUACUAAAAUAGGAUUAGUAAGUGUGAAUAUAAUUAUAAUAAACAUAAUUUUAUACCAAAAUCUUUGAUUUUUUAAUUAUAAUAAUCAAAUAAUAUUCUCCACUUGCAUAAACUAAACUAAAAACAUUAAUUCUGUCCUUUUUUUGGAGUCCAAGUGACAGUAUUCCCAACUUUUGGGGAUUAAGACAUGAAUUUUUUUUCCAUUUAAAAAAAAAAAAAAAGAUCUAACUUGGUAAUAUUUUAAUAUACUUGAUGAAUUUUACUAAGUUAGGAUUAGUAAGUGUGGAUAUAAUUUGAAAAAAACAUAUAUAAUAUACCAAAAUAUUUCAAUUUUUUAAAAAAAUAAUUAAAUUACAUUCUCCACCUGCGUGAACUAAAUAAGCCUAAGAAUUCAUGAAAAUGAUUUCCAAUUAGGGAGUAAUACAAUUUUACAUGAAACUAGUAUAUCAGCUUCAUGUAUAUAUAAUUUUGUAAAAUAAUAUCUUGUAAAAUAAUAUCAAUAUUAUUAAAAUAAAAAAUUGAAUUUAUAAAUAUACUUUAAAGAAUAAAGUAUAUUUUUUGUGAAUAAACAAUGUGAAUUGUGGUAGAGUUACUUAUUUGUCGAGGUUAAGAUGAUUGAAUAUUGUUUGAACAUGAAGAAAUAAACAAUUGAAGUUGAGGGAUAACUUUCUUAGAAAGAUCAUUUUCUUCAACGACAGUUGUAGAAAUGAGGAUGUUGUGAUAUGGAUAUAUUAGGAGAAAUAAAAUAGGAAUGAGAAUAUACUGAAGGACAAGAUGGAAAUAAGAUUGAGAUUGUUCAGACAUGUGAAGAGGAGAUACACAUAUGCUCCACCGUGGAGGUGAGAGAGGUUUGUUAUAGGUGGUUUCAAGAGAGGUAAAAGGAAGUCAAAAGAGUAUUGAGAUAGGUAAUUAGACAAAACUUGGUGCAGUAUCAGUUUACCGAGGGCUUCACCUUAGAAAAGAAGUUUGUGGAGGACACAAAUUAGAAUAGAAGGUUAGUAGGAAGUAGUGUGUAGUCUUGCUAUUUGUUCAUACUAGUAGUCGUACUAUUACUCCUUUAAUUUAUUUUCAUUUUAUUUAUGUUAUUAUCUUUGUUGCUUGUACUUCAAUUAACGUAAUAUUUUAUUUUGGUAUACUUUCCACACAAAGAGAGUUAGUCUUGUAUACCUUAGAUGUGUGUAUUAAUAAUACUUUGAUUGGUACACUUUUUCAUGCCAUGUAUAAUUAAUGUUUGCAUUAGUUAUACACUCUAUUAUGUAUUACUAAUACCAAGGAAUUCUAGGUAUUAGUAAUACAUAACAUUUUAACACUUGCAUUAGAUUAAAUAAUUACAAAAACUACCCUUAAAGUCUUUUCAUUUUCUUUGUUGUCAUAAGUUUUUAUUUUAUGUUGAUUUGUUUUUUUAGUGUCUUUUAAUUUAUUGGUGUCUUAAUAGGCUUUAUGGCCUCUUAAGUAUCUUUAAAAAAAAUCUAAUUUAAUCAAAAAAUUUACUAUUGUGACGAUAAAUUUUAAGAAGCCCACUGCUUCACCCCAACUUAUUAACUCAAAAAAACAAAACUUAUUCUUUUUUCACAUCCGUUAUGCUUUUCUUAAUUAGUAGUACAUAAAUUCAUCCUUAAAAUAUGAUUAAAAAAAAUGAAGGUAGAAUUUUUUUGUUGUAAAAGAAUUUGAUCUUAGUUGAUUUAGUAAUAAUUAGAUGUGAACAAGUAAAUUACUAUCUUUUUCUUGAGUUGAUUGUAUUACUUUCCUGUAUUUUAUUAGUAUUUGAUGACAACCUAAAUGCUUUAUUUUAAAUGUAGACAAAAAAAUUCUUUGCCAAUUUUUUACGAAAAUAUUUUGACUCAAUAGUAUAACUAUUUAAUAUUAUUUUUGAAAAAAAAAGAAAAAGAAGAAUGAAGAGUUAAUGAUGCUUUAGCAAAUAAAUUUGUUGCAAAGGAAGUGUACAAAUAAAUAAAGUGUGAAGGGUAUUUUUGUAAACAUAUAUUUUUUAAUAGAAAUUAUGCAAGAUUUGUUAUUUUUAAUACAUCAAACCAAACAAUGUAUAAGAAACAAUACUUGCAUAACUAAUGCAAGCACUACUAAUGCAAGCAUUACUAAUGCACCCUAUUUUGCAUUAUUCUUAUACACUCUACCAAACGACCCCUUAAAAUUAUAUGGUCCUAAUGCAUGUUUUAGAUGUAAUGGAAGAAUGAACAACAUAAACAUCAAAAAUUCUUUUAUAUUACAUGAAUCAUUUCACUCAAAUAAAGCUUUACAAAGUUUGUCAACAAAUAGCUGAAAAACAUGAACUGUUAUCAUCAGCCGAAGAACACCAACUCAUCUCAUCUGGAUUCUGCAGUGGCGGAAUUCAAAUUUUAGAGCGUCUACGAGCAGCAUUGCGUCUUGCACAGCAUCCAACGAAGUAGAUCAUCGACUGACACAAGUAAGAAUCAGCAGUGGAUGAGAAUGAGUAGAAGUCAUAUGAACAAAUUCAAGUCAUCCGAAAAAUCACAGAGGCGGAGCUAGAUUAUUAGCUAUGAGUUCAGAUGAAUCCAAUAACUUUUGCUAAGACCCUAUUUUUGUGGAAAUCCAUUAAAUAAUGUAUAAAUAUGUAGUUGCCAAUUCUGUAACUAAGAAGAGUAUGGAUUCGGUGGAAAGUUUAGAACUCAUAAACUUCAAAUCUGAGCUCAUAAAUGUAACCGUACUUCUCCAACAAGAAACAAGAGUCAUUAUGCUCACUUUUUGAGAUCUUAAUUAGAAGAGUGAACUUACCAAAACGACAAAGAGAAUCACGUUGAAUAUAGCAACCACUCUCCAUUCAGUUUUCAUGUAUUGUGCAACACCAGCUCUGGAAGAAAAUAUAGUAGGAGAAAAGUUGUGAGCUGUAUAACCUUAUAUGAAGCGAAGAAUGACAAGACCAGAAGAUGACUCUUACUUGCAGGAAUCACAGCUAUAGCACUUGACGUUCUUCGAGUUUUUGUAAAGCUUGCAGUCCUUGCUUGAACUUGUCGGAUGAAAGCUCAAGUCAUAGUAUGAGGCGUUAACAGCAGGGUAACCACAUCUACAAAAGGAGCAGAGUAUAUGAGCAUAUUGAUCACGAAUCAUUUUAACACUUAUCUAUAACACAUCUUACUCUUUUUGUAAUUACUAAUUCACAAAGUGAGCUUUCACUUAAUUGUAAAAUAACUGCUAGAUGAUAUUAAUGUGUUCUCGGAGUAGUAUGAAACGAAAAUAUCUUGCAAAAGAAAGAAAAGGAAAAACAAACAAAUAAUAAUAACAAUAACUUACUCAGAUGGUGGUUUGCAGCAACCAGCUUCAAUAGGUGUUAGUUUUGCUAAUUUGUAUUGCUUGGCAGUCUGAAACAAAACAGCAGAAGCAUUAAUAGUAUGAUUUCACAGAUAUAAAUCAUGAACAGGUUCAAGUCGGAACAUGACCUUGUAUCGUUUUGAUAGGUUACUACAGUCAUCAGUCUUGACAAGACAGCUUUUCAGAUGCUUCCAGUUAUGGGUGUUAUUGAGCUGAAACAAAUGAGCAAAUGGUUAAUCAAUGCAUGAAAUUUUCAUCUUAAGGCAUCUGAAACAACUCCUAUAACGAUCAGGACAUGAUGCCUUUGCCCUAUAACCUGCGACUUAUUACUUCCUCCGUCCCAAUUUAUGUGGCACCAUUUGACUUGACAAGAAUUUUAAGAAAGAAAGAAAGGAAGAGUUGAAAAUUUGUGGUCCUGUGGCUAUAGAUAAUUUCAUUAAGAGUAAAAUGAAAUUUAAGUUAUAUUGUUUCAAAUUAAAGAAAUGUGACAUUCUUUUUAGGACGGGCUAAAAAGGAAAGUGUGUCACAUAAAUUGUGACAAAGGUAGUAUUUGCAUAUAAACAGGUGCUUACUUGUUUUAGAAACCACGAACUGUAGUCUUGAAGUUGAUACUCCUUGUACCUGCCCUCACAAAAACCAUUAGUGACCUCACUCUUCUAAGAAUAUCACAGAAGUAAAAGGAAAGAGGAAAACUGGAAAAACUUGUGACGAUCUCGAUGAAAUGUACAAGCACAAUCCAUGUCUGUGAGACACAUUGAGAACCAAAGUGAGACUGAGCAAGACGUGGGUCGAGAAAAAGAGUGGAUAAAGGGGAAAAUACUGAGGGAUGAAGUCAUGAAGAGAGGAGAUAUUGAGAUCACAGACAGUAUGACAGGUGAUUGUACCUUUGUCCAUUAACACUAUGACCUGAGCUGUUAUUCGUCACAAUGAACCUGUGACAAAGCAAACCAAAAUAAGUGUCACAGUAAUAUGUAGGUAUCAGCCAUUUCUGACAUCAGCAUGCACAUAGACACAGUAAUUGCCACCUUAUACCUGUUAACCCUGACACAACAGUAGUUGCCGUUUAAUGAAGGAUUAAAUAUGGCAAACAGUUUAGAGUUCCAUGUUCAAGACAGAUUGCAGAUAGAAUUAGUAAUGAAGUUAACUGAAAACCAAGCAGGACUUUUGCAUGCUUAGACUAUCACUUGCUAGCGUAGCUUUUGUCACUGUGUGAAAAAAAGAAAAGAAGGAAAAAGCAGAAGAAGAUUUGGUUGUGCAUUCCCCUUUGCAUUAAGUGGGCAGUAUGGCUGGAAAGAAAUUGUAGGUGCUUUAUCAUACGCCUUUUCAAGGUCACUGAACACCAUAUGUAAGUCUCUCUUCCUUUCCCUAUACUACUUCACCAGUCUCCUCACAAGAUGAAUGGCUUAAUCAACAUAUCUGACCAAUAUAAGAAAUUUGUCUCAUCAUUCAGACUAAAGAGGGGAGCAGCACCAUUACUUGGGUUGGUAUCGAUAAGUUGUGCCGUAACACUGGAACUUCCUAUAUGGUCCAGAAGGACUUAAGAAAGUUUUAUGCACUUUAGACGGAUGUAGGAUUACUACUUUACCUGAUGAAGUCUCAGCUGAGACAUUGUGCCUUGCCACACUAAACAUUGAAAAUCGUAUCAUGUUCCAGUAGAAUCAGAGGAGUCCUCACCCAGGGCUUUGGUUCAUUAGCAAAGGUAGUACGAUGCGGGAUUAGUGGUAAGCACAAGCAGUGAAUUCUAACCCUGUUGCGAACCAAAUCUGGUAUUAAAGAGAAGGGUAGAGGGGCGGAUUAUCAACAAGUUUUGGAGCUAGAAACAACCGGUCUCUUGGUUAUAAAAGAAUUCAAGCAGACCUAUGAACGUUACACCUAACGUUGCUACUUUAACUGCGAAGGCCUCUACCAAUUGCUGGUUAACAAGACCAAAGAACAAAAUACUUGAGAAAGAAUUCUCCUCUAUGAAAUAAUCAUCAUUUGUGUGUUUAACUCCAAAAUGAAAAAGGAAAUAGGCUUCAACCUGGCGGUACUAGGGUGCUUACCAAAUUUGAGCAAAUCUAUACACCAUUUGACUCUUUUUAAGCUAAUUUUAGUACAUCAAAAGUUGUACCCAAAAUCUAAGCACACUGCACACAGGGACAACGGAUCAGGAAUAAAGACACACACUAUGCUGGAACCUAUAGAACAACUAGUUAAGACUAUUCAUGAUAUUGUAUUUCUAUUCUUCCCUAAUCAAAGUAAUUUUCAGCCAAGGCGGUGAAAGCUUGAUUCACCAGCCUCCAAGAAGCAGAGUAGGUUCCAGUCAGGGGACCAACCCAGAGGCAAUGUCUUACGAUGCUGUAGCUAAUUAGCUAUUGAUAGAAUCCUAAAGAACCGUCAAUAAUACACCUCAUGGCUUGUAACUUGGAAAGCAUAAAACAAAUAAAACAAGCAGGAUGUUAAAUCAAACUAUAGGUACAUUCAUACAUGAUGAAGUAGACCAUAAACAUAGCAAUAACUAAAAUAUCUCGGUGGACUACAACUACAGUCACAAAUAUGGUAAUGCCUUUUAACUUCAUACUGAAAUCGCCUCCAUAAAACAGUACACAUGUAGUUAUCGUGUGCAUUGAUAAUUAACCAUAAACGUGUUGAUAAACAUUUGUUGUAACACAUCUUCAUUAUAAUUUAUUUGAUCUUGGGUAUUGCAAUACAGAGGCGAGAUAAAGGGGGAAAACGAAUGGCUGAUCUAUCAGCAAUAACAGAUAGAUAAUGCACCAAAUUUUUAAUGAAAUUCCAAGAAGCAUUACUUACGCUAAAACGGUGAAGACCAAUAUUGCCACCAAAAUUAAGCACAACAUGAUCAGAUACUGAAAUAUAAUGUUAAGGAGAAGCAACCAAAAAAGUUAUGCCAAUCAAAAAUAAGAAAAAAAAUUGCAUUUCAUGUGACAUUUGAUAAAGUGAGGAUACAAUCCACAACAAGAUGGAGUUGUUCUUCCAUGCUCCAAGAAACCCAACAAUUGAUCUGAAAAUCAUGGAAAGAAGAAUGAUUAUAACAAUAUACAUAAACAAACCUUGAGUGGUUAAAGGGUUAAGGGAAAAUUAAAUGAACAAGUGCGUUUUUAUGUGAAGGAAAACAUUUUCCAGAAACCUACACAAUAAAUAUAACUCCUCCAAGACCUAGAACAGGCAGAGUGAGAGACUUUCGACAGACAUCAUGAUGAGCGCUCAUCCAAAUCCCAAAACCUAUGACGCCCACAGCUAACAGCUGCAUUUUCAAGAUCCAAACGGAGUACAAAAACAGUUAAACACCACCGAAAUAGAAAAAUAAAUAAUAAACUUCCUGCUCUAAAUUAAGAACUAGAAAAACCUCAAUUUGAAAAACAAAAAGAUAGAGCAUGUGUUCAGUAAUGUUUUCCAGUUUUCCCAUGUUCGAUUGGUCAAAUAUUUUGAAAAACACUUUCUCUCCUUAACGAAAAUGACUUCUCUAAUGAAAAUAGGACAAACAAGUUCCUCUAGUUACAUUCCACAUUGAUUGUGUUCUCCACACCAGCCAACACGCCUCAUCGAAACACAUUUAUUUCCUACAAAACAUUUUUCAAGAAAAUAUUUUCCUUGAAAACAUUUCCUUCAUACCAAACAUACCUAGAAAGCAAAAUACUCUACCUCAGAUUGAAAACUAGUACAAAAGGAGGUAAAAAUUGGUUCUUUUCUUCUGAAACAACAAUUAAAUCAAGCUCAACUGAACAACUACAAUCACAUUGAACCAAAAGGAAUAGCAUUUAGAGUAAAUUGAAUCACUGAAACUAACAAGCAUCUAAGUAAAGUUGCCCAAUACAUCAAGAAACACAGACCCCAAACCAAUUUAGGGGUUCAUCUUUUCUACUCAAUGAAACAAAAACAAAA
This 87022-nucleotide long non-coding RNA is filed under the name Solanum tuberosum (potato). Its description in RNAcentral is "long non-coding RNA (STUB_LNC008595)". The record is from RNAcentral. Lineage: Eukaryota; Viridiplantae; Streptophyta; Magnoliopsida; Solanales; Solanaceae.